This 53168-nucleotide long non-coding RNA is filed under the name Ananas comosus (pineapple). RNAcentral's name for it is "long non-coding RNA (ACOM_LNC028091)". The record is from RNAcentral. Lineage: Eukaryota; Viridiplantae; Streptophyta; Magnoliopsida; Poales; Bromeliaceae.
GUUUUCUAAAUUCAUUGUUCACAAGGCAUUCUCUAAGGGAUCCACCUAUCCCUAGGUCCUUCGACCUCUAGUGUUAUUUACACUACGUUAAUGCCACUCGUUAUCAUUCAAUAUUUGGAUGCCACUCGUUUGUUCUUUGACAAUAACACUACUUUCUAUGUCAUCAAUACCCCCGUCGGGUUCAUCUCUAUCUUUAGCAUCAUAGGAUCCACGUUCCGACCCAAUCCUCACCUAUCUAGUUACCAAGCGUUCCAAGUACACUAGGUUAUCAUUUAGAAAGCAUAAGGAUGGAGCUACCAUGCAAUCCUACAAUGCAACAUGUAAGAGAUGAGAUUAAAUGCAAUCUAAGACAUAGAAAGGAGUUCGAAAGUUUCGGAUGACACCCCCCACCUUGUUACCAAUGUAGAGGCUUUGGAAAUUCUUGUCGGCGAGCUUUGCAAAAAGGCUUUAGCCUUCCUCGCCCGAAUCAAUGCUAGCCCGGCCCAAUUUUGCCGAGAACUCCACGUCGGUUCGCCGAAUGCCAAAAUCGACUUCGCCCCCGCGUUUUGGGACCUAUCAAUAGGGUUUCCAAGGCUUCAAAUGAGAUCAAUCUCAUACAUUUACAAAAACCUCAUUUUGGAACCCUAGAUUUGCACCUAUAGCAAAUCACCCCAUAAAUCCCUAGAUUCUUGGGAUUGAUCUAUUUAGAAGCUUGCUUAGGGUCCAUUUGACCCAUUCCAAGGCAUAAAACCCAAAGACCCUAAGUUCUAGAAGCUAGGGUUAGUAGCUUACCUCAAGAGCUACUCCAAUGGGAAGAGGAGAGGGAGUUGGAGGUGCUCAAAGCCUUCCUCUUGAUCUCCUUCUUCUUCUCCUUCCUUAUCUUCCUCUUCUUUUCCUUCCUCUCCUUCUUGUUCUUCUUCUCCUUCUUUCCUUUCUAGAGAGAGAGAGAGAGCAAGAGAGAAAUGAAAGUGAGAGAGAGAGGAAAUGAGAGAGUGUGAGGGAGAGAGAGGGCUCAGCCCACUCAAAUAAAUGCCAUUUUGCACAAAAGCCCCUCAACUUUCACCCCUGUGCACUGCCCUUACUGGGCAGUUUUCGCGCGGAGGGACCGGUCUCCCCGACUUGGGACCGGUCCCCGAGAGCUUCCCUCGGGCGCACGCGUUCGGGAACCGGUCUCUCCCCGGGAGACCGGUCCUCGGGAGACCGGUCCUCACCUGAGAGACCGGUCCCCGAGAGCUUGAUUUUCAGGACUUAGCUAAUUUUUGGCAUCUCACACUUGGGCCACGUUCGGGAACCGGUCCCUCACCACCAGGGACCGGUUGCAUCACGCAACCCCGCAACACCCAGCCGAGGGAACCGGUCUCUCACCUGCAGAGACCGGUCCCCGAGAGCAACUUCUGCCCAAUGAUGCCAUUUGCCUCAUUUGCUCUCGCGGACUCAACUCCAAGGCACUCUUUGUGCUUUGGACAUUCUCAACUCCCACCAAGGGUUUACUUGCGACAAUCAGUCGAUCCUGGGUGAAGUACAAUCCUCGUAUUUCGAGAAUUCACUUCCUUACACUUUUAUCAUAUAUAUUUGGAUGCCCCGGCUAGAUUAGUUGCAGCCACAGCACGUGCAUAUAUGUUAUAUCAGAUUAGCUGUAGUCUAUUUUCAAACCCCACCGGAUAUGGAGUUCACCUUAAGUGGCUGCCAUUUAUAGCGGAUUUUGAUGCAUGUGGCGGUUUAGCCUGGGGUGCAACAGCACUGGCCUAUCUAUAUCGAGCAUUGGGAUCGGCUGCAUUAAAAGGAAAGGUCGAAUGCUGUUGCUUCGCGACAUUAGUACAGGUAUUAUGAGUAAUAUAUAAUAAUUGUUAUAUAAAGCUUCUCCUUUUUAAUUUCACUUGUUUAAUUUAUUGUCAUUUAUUUAUAGAUUUGGGCGUGGGACCAUCUUCAUGUCGGCCCACCUACUAGCGUUGGAGCUAUUGCCGACAUGGCUGAUUGCCCUUUGGGUUGUCGAUAUGAUAUAUGAAUUUGAUACAUAUUACAUUUCUAUAUAUACAUUUGCAACUAACACGUAUACUUUUCCAAUAUUAGGUGGACGAACGCCGGCGUGUUACGUUUUGGAGCAAACGUUAGAACAACAGAUAUUGAAUUCUACCAAGAUGAGUUAGAUCAGCAGAGAAAGUCCCAGGUACGUAUUAAUGCUACCAAUUUUUUUAAUAUACAACCGUAUUAAUGCAUUCAGCUGACUAUUAUUGGCUUUUUCAUAGAUUACAUAGCGGCCGUACACAGAUGCUAUUAUAGAUGCGCUAUCGGCAUUCUAUGUACAGGGCAGUGAGGUAUGGUGAUCGAGGACGACACUGAUUUCUUUUCAUAUCGUUGAGCUUCACGUGCCGGAUCGAGUCCUACGGCAGUUUGGUCUCCACCAGCAUAUACCCAUUCAGGUGGAGACCAUCCGUCGCGUCACAUCUCAGGGGGCGGCCAGAUGAGGAUUGGACCCAUUUUCAUGCUGCACACAUCAAGAGAUGAGGACAAAGAUUACAGGCCAUUAUUGACCAGCAUCCGAUUGUCGAUGAUGACUCGGUACAGGCGACUUCUAUUUAUAUGGAGUGGUAUUGGCAGAUCACGAGAAGAUGGAUUUCUCGUCCAGUACAGCGUCCACUAUUGACUUACCAGCCUCGGGGCCAGAUCGAGAGAGCUUUGGUACGAUCACUCAUAUGCUAAUUAUUUUUUUAAUCAUAUAUAUAUUAUAGAUUGCCAAAAGUGAGUUUUUAUCGAUAAUGCAGGUAGACGCAUUACGACAGUCUCAGUAUAGCAUCGGACAGCUAGUUCGUGAUCAACCUUCUUACGAUACGAUGCUGGAGAUAUUGACGGGCAUGUAUGCCCACAUUGAGUCAGUACUGGAGUACAUUCCUUUCAUACCUAUUGCCGCUGAUAUCGGAGGUCGAGAUUUUGGUCAUGCCUCGACAUCGGGUCAUCACAAGAGACAAUCACCGACAUCUACUGGAUCAUACUCGAGAUCGAGCCUGCGAGUGUCACGAUCUCCAUCUCCUACUGAUGUUGCAGAUAUGCCCGCCGCCCCUUCAAGAUUUCCUUCUUGCCAUUGGACUUGGACUCGCUUCCGCCGCCAGUCUCUCGAGAGCACUUUAGAUUAGUCUACUAUUGACGUCAUGCCGCGUCAUCAUGACAGGCCCGCCUAGCAUCUACAUCGGCCACUAUCGAGGGUGAUCGACCUGAGCCAGAGGAGACUCAUGCGAUUCCGGAGCAUCCCGAGGGCAUUAUCAUUGCGGAUCUCGAUCAGAUGGCCGGUAUCGAGGCACUUGAUGACGUACCUACUGCUGAGCUCGAUGUACAGGGUGGCCGUAUGUGACACCCCAAUAGUCCCACAUCGGAUGGAAAAGGGGUUGUCAUUGGGUUUAUAUGAGACUUAGACACUAGUAAUAAUAACUGGGCUUAAGCAUUUUGGGCCGGUGGUUGGGCCCAACGAGUUAUUGUUGCUAGUGGGCUGGGUCGUUACAUUUGGUAUAAGAGCCAGUUUACCAGCUGGACAUGUGUGGCGAGUCUCGGCUGAGCCAAGGUCUAGAUGACGGGCUAGCGAGACGAGUCUCACAUCGCCUGGUGAUCUUGGGCUGUGUGUGUGAUUGGACUGACGAGGACGUCAGGGCCUUAACGGGGGGAGUCUGUGACACCCCAAUAGUCCCACAUCGGAUGGGAAAGGGGUUGUCAUUGGGUUUAUAUGAGACUUAGACACUAGUAAUAAUAACUGGGCUUAAGCAUUUUGGGCCGGUGGUUGGGCCCAACGAGUUAUUGUUGCUAGUGGGCUGGGUCGUUACACUGUAGAUGUGGACGUGGCCGUGGCCAAGGAUGUGGCCGAGGACGUCGAGGGAGAGGAAGAUCAAGAGACUGAUUGUAUAUUUUUUUUAUUUUGAGAGCAUUCGUUGUAUAAUAUUAUAUAAUACUUUAUUUAGUUCAUAUUUGUAUAUUUGUCUGUGUUUUUUUUAUAUUUUUACCUAGUUGAUUGUAUCUUGUUAUUCCACUUGUGAUGUUGUGUUUCUUGUUGGAAUAUUUGUUAUCGUGAAAAAACUUGCCUCAAACUUGUUCUAACUUGUUUUUAAAAUCGAGCUGAAUUUAUCACCUGCUGCAUGUUUGCACUAAAGGCGGUGAAUGGUUCACCGCCUCUAGUGCAAAUCCACGAAGCCCUCCACGAAGCUGCAAAAAAAUGGCUAUUUCCUAGACUGGGGGCUGUUUACAUUAAAGGCGGUGAACUAUUCACCGCCGUUAGUGUAGCACAAAUAAGACGGUAAACCAUUCACCGUCUUAUCAGUGUUUUAGCCCGAACUCCAGGACUUAGCCAAAUUAGGCUGGGUGGGAGUUUACUCUAAAGACGGUAAAUCAUUGACCGUCUUAUGAAGACGGUGAACAAUUCACCGUCUUAUAUAGGCCACAAAACCGUCGACUUUUGCGGGGAUUUGCUGCGAAGGUGGUGAAUGGUACACGCCUUCAGAAGGCGGUCAACCAUUCACCACCUUCUCUAGGACACCUUGGCAAAGCCGGGGUUGGGAUUUGCCGAGAAGACGGUAAACUAUUCACCGCCUUCUCUAGGGCACCUUCGGAAAGCAGGGGAGGGGUUUUGCUCUAAGGGAAAGCGGGGGAGCGGUUUUGCUCUAAAGGCGGUGAAUGGUGGUGAACGAUUCACCGCCUUAUGAAGAUGGUGAACGAAUCACCGUCUUUGCGAGAAAAAUCUGAGGUGGCGCCGACGUGGCGAAAUGAGGGUUAGUUUUACAAAUAAAUUUUUCAGAGGGUCAUUUUGCCAAUUACAAAAUUUUACAGGGUUAUUUUCAAAAAAAGCCCUGAUAUUAUUAUUAUUAUUAUUAUUAUUAUUAUUAUUAUUAUUAUUAUUAUUAUUAUUAUUAUUAUUAUUAUAAAAUAUUAUUAGUGAACCAUACACUACAAAUAUAAAAUAUUUUAACAAUAAAUUUUUAAUUAAUAUUUUUAUAUUUAUAUUAUUUUAUUAUUUUAACUAUUAAUUCAAUAAAUUUAAAUAAAUAUAAAAAUAAUUUAAAUUAGUUUAUAUAAGGUUUUCUUUUUAAUAUUUAGCCCCUCAAACAAAAAUUUUCAUAAAUAGUCCGAUAAAAUUUAUAUUUGCAAGAUUAGUUGUAUUCCCGCCACGGAAGCGCCAUAUAAGCGCCACGUGAGUAUGGAUGAUGGUGCAGAUUAAAUUGAACAUGGUGAAUCAUUCACUGUGUAGGAACACGGUGAAGGAUUCACCGUGUUCCAUUAUUUUCCUACCAAGUAAUAUUUAGGGUUAUGGUUUAGGAAAGACACGUUAAACCAUUUACUGUGUUCAACUUAAUAUUGCGCUCGCGUUGCGCUUCCAUAGUAGGGAUAGGGCCUAUCUUACAAUAUAAAUUUUGUGGGGCUAUUUGUGAAAAAGGAAAAUCUAAGGGGGCUAAAUGCAAAAAAAGCUCACUAUGUAUGAUAUAAUUUUUUGUAAAAAUUUACCAAUAAUUAAAUCAUUUUAUGAACGGAUGUGAAAAAAAAAAUUAUUAGAACGGAAACUACUAAAUUAUUUUUAAAAACUUUAUAUAAAUUUAAAAUUUAAUAAAUUUAAUAGAUAUAGUAAUUGUUAGUUAUUGGUUAUUUAAUUUUAUUUCAUUAAAAUUAAUUAUAAUUAUUGAAUUUGGCCAAAUUUUGAAUAAAAUUUAAUAAAAAUUUUGUUUAGUUAACUAAACCUAAUCAUAAAAAAUCAGAAAUUAUACAGAAAUUAGUUAAAAUUAAAUAAAUUUGAGAGAUCUAUUAAAAAGCAUCCUAAUAGUUGAAGGGGCUCUUCACAUAUUUUUUUACCAAUACUUUUUUUUUUUUGGUGAAAAUGUAAAAGGACAUCCUCACCUAUUGACAAUUUUGAUAUGGACCCUUUAUUUUUUCAGGCCAUUAUAAAAAAGAUCCCUAGUUAUUUUUUUUCCAUACAAAUUCAACUUUAAUUUUUAAUAUAAAUUAUUAUCUUACUUAAAUUAAAUUUUUAUUAAUGUACUAACACUAUUAACUAUUAGCUAUUAAAUUAUAUAAUUUUAUUUUACAAAUUUGGUAAAGUUCCUAAGAAAUUCUUAGAAUCUCUAAUUUAAUUAAUUCCAAUAAUUCAAUUCCAAGAAAAGAUAAAAAUUUAAUAAAUCUAAACAAUAAUUUAAGGCUAAAUUGCAAAAAAUGCUCUACCACUUUAUCUCUCGCCUCAAUAAUCCCCGCACUAAAAAUUACACAAAUUACUCUCCUAUAUUUUGCCAUUAUUUCAAAAAAGCUAUAAAAUUUUUUAAAAAUAANGGCCCCGCUGUUUGCUGUUCGGCUUUAAGACUUUAAUACAAUUUCUCAAGAUAAAUGACAAAAACUGCACUCCCCGCAACAGGGAUAAUAGUGCAACGCGAAAAAGCAAUGCCAGAAAAAAUGGUGCAACUGCCCUUCUAACAUGCAACGUAGGGUAAAAGACUACAACUGUGAUUGUAAUAGUGCAAUGUGGUCGACAGAAUAGUUCAAUGGUUUUAGGAAGCGGAGGCGUCGGAGAAGAGACCGAACAGCAAACACUAGGUGCGGAGUAGGAGGAGGCUCCACCACCUCUUUAUUGCCGCCGCCGCCGUGGCGCUUCACCUCCGCGCACCAGGGAUAAUAGUGCAAGGCGAAGGUUCUACGGCAGGAGAAAUAGUGGAACGAACCUUCUAACAUGCAACCGUAGCCUCGUUCUAGUGCAACCUCUCCAUAACCAAUCAAAAUUUUACUUAUUUUAUUUCAUAAUGUAAUCUUAAGCUAAUAGUAAAAAUGAAAGGACAUGGGGGCCGUCGAUAAUACCGGGGCGGAGUGGGAGGAGGCUCCACGAUGUCUUUAUCGCCGCCGCCGCCGUGUCGACUUCACCUCCGCGCGCCAGGGAUAAUAGUGCAACGCGAAGGUUCUAUGGUAGGAGAAAUGGUGCAACGGCCCUUCUAACAAUGCAUCCGUAGCAUCGUUCUAGUGCAAUCUCUCCAUAACCAUUCAAAAUUUUACUUAUUUUAUUUCAUAAUGUAAUCAUAAGCUAAUAGUGCAAAUGAAAGGGCAUGGGGGUCGUCGAAAAUACCGGGGCGGAGUGGGAGAAGGCUCCACCACCUCUUUAUCGCCGCCGCCACCAUGUCGACUUCACCUCCACGCGCCAGGGAUAAUAGUGCAAGGCGAAGGUUUUACGGCAGGAGAAAUGGUGCAACGACCCUUCUAACAGUGCAUCCGUAGCAUCGUUCCAGUGCAACCUCCCCAUAACCAUUCAAAAUUUUACUUAUUUUAUUUCAUAAUAUAAUCAUAAGCUAAUAGUGCAAAUGAAAGGGCAUGGGGGCCGUCGAAAAUACCAGGGCGGAGUGGGAGGAGGCUCCACCACCACUUCAUCCCCGCCGCCGCCAUGUCGCUUCACCUCCGCGGGCCAGGGAUAAUAGUGCAACGCGAAGGUUCUACGGCAGGAUAAUGGUGCAACAACCAGUCUAACAGUGCAUCUGUCACGCCCCGAGACCGGCACCAAUUUGGCCCGACCCGAGCACGUCAAACAGACGCCGAACGGACAGAGUUUCCCCUGUCCGCCCAAGGCUCAUCACAUGUACAAAAUUCAAACAAGAAUUGCACUAGCGGAAACAUACACAAACGGCUUACACGAGGGUAAGCAAAAGCCAUUAGUGAAAGAAAAAGGAAAACUAAACAUUCACUUGUACUAUGAUUCAGUUUUGAUCAUAUACAUUGCAUUCAUCUUGUUCAUUUUCGAAUUCCUUACAUUUCCUUACAUCAUUUCAUCAUUUCUUUCUUACAUCACGUUUACCUCAAAACAAGCUUUACAUUCUUUCUUUACAUCACUAAUCAUCAAGUACAAAAGAUGAUAAAAGGGUGUCUACUAACAAAAUGUAACCCAACAUUGGUGGCCUUUGACUACGGUGCGAUACCUUUACCGCGGUCGCUCGCCGGCUCACUCGGUCCCGGCUCUGUGGAAAUAGUGGGGUGAGAACUACAACAAAGUUCCCAGUGGGUUCGGCCUCAACAUCACCGACUUUCCCACUAGGACUAACUCAGGCAUAAUAGAAAGGAUAAGCUGAAAUAUAGUAACCAAUCUACAACAUGAUGCUAAUAUGCCUGAACAAAAUCAAGGAAUAUGCUCAACAUUAAACAGAUGCAGAUUAUGCAAGUUCUUUCGUUCUUUACACUUUACACUUUACACUUUGUUCUUUGCUCUUUGUUCUUUACUCUUUAAUCUCAAGGCUAACCCGGGGGUUUCGCCACAUUAACUUGCUUCACAUUAAGUCCAUCAUCGCAGGAACUCACCCGCUAGGACCGUCCUUACGGGUUUACUCCAACACGGAUGCAUAACUCCGGAGCGCAUCGCCGAGGGGAAGCGACCGGCCUCGAGACGUCGAACUAAUAGCAAGCAUGAUCAUAUCCUUACUGCAAAUGAUUUUAAUAAGUUCAAUCUUGACUUUACACUAGCUUUAGUGUUCAUUAUACUCAUUUAUGUUGGCAAAUCAUGCAAUCACGAAUUCUUUCGUUUUUUUAUUUUGCUAACUCUAGCAAUUUAUUCUUUACAUCUUUCUGUUUUGGCCCUACUCCUAGCACUUCGUCGUUCUAUUAUUUCCCACACUCUACUUUUAACCUUAAAAACAUAGUCUUUUUAUCAUUUCCUUUACAUUGCGUUUUGGUUCGUUUGCACUCACACGUACUCUAGUGUUCUCUUUACUUUACAUUUUAAUGGCCACUCGAUUCAUACUGUCAUUUGCACUCUGUUCGAUUUUGCUCACUUUGGAAGUACUCCAUUCUUUCUCUAUGCAUACAGUCUAGUGUUUUGGACAUUAUUAGGUGUCGUAACCAUUCAUUAUGCAAGUUAGUGUCACAAUCAUGCAAUUCAUACAUUUCAUCCUUACUUACCAUAAAAUGCAUGCAACAGUAUAUAGAAAAUGAUGCUCAAAGAAUGGACACAUUAAGGAUGAGAGAAUUUCAAUCGAGUUUUGAAAAAGCUCCCCUGAUGAUAGGUCUUAUUUAGGUGCUCGGUGUUUCUUGGUGAUUUUUAUGAACAGUCAUAUUGUUUCUGUUACCAUAACAGGCAAAACACGAACUUUUUAGGUUCCCAUUUUGCCCUUACUUGCUUUGACUUUCGUUAAAGUUUAUAAAGUUCCCUUAGACGCCAACCAGAGCCGUCGGAAAUAACCCCCAAUCUAGAUUGUUGUAAGCUGUGCAAUUGUCAACUUAGAAAUCCCCAUGAGCACAAAAUGCUUUCAUUUGGGUCGGCCCUAGUCCAAUGUAAAUCAAAAGACUAGGGGAUCAAUUGAUCUCAUUGGGAAGCAAAGUAGCUUAUGUACACUCUAAUUAUUCCAUUAAACCCAAUUAUUAGGCCUUUCAAAACCUAGUUAGUUGGAUAUUCACCAUAGAGGUGGGUUGAAGCUCACCUUGAGCUCAACCAUGGUUUUGAUCUUUCUAAAGAAGCAAAAGAAAGCUUAAUACUCUUAAAAACUCACAUAAAAACAAUUCUAGGCUUACCCAAACCCUAGUUUGGAGAAUCAUCGAAAGGGGCAAAGCUUACCUCAAGCUUGCCUAACUUGACUAAGAGAGAAGAAGAUGAAGCUACCUUUUGAUAGAAUGAUGUUUCAACUUCUCUUUGAUCUGUUUUUCACUUCUCGUUCUCUCGUCCUUCCUUACCUUCUUUUCUUCUUUCUCUUCUCUACCUUUGAUAUUCUUGUGAGAGAGGGAGAGAAGAGAGUGUGAGAGGGUGAGAAUGAGAGAAAUGUCUCAUUUACCCCAAUACUAUACUCAAUGGGUUGCAAAAUUGCAGCUAAACCCCUCAACUUUCACUUUAAUACACUGCCCGAACUGGGCAGUUCGCGCAGGCAGGGACCGGUCUCUCCCUUUAGGGACCGGUUCCCGAACGUUGUCCCAGCACAGCCAGAGCUGCUGCGCGCAGUGCAACCGGUCUCUCUCUGUGGGACCGGUCUCUCGGGGACCGGUCUCUCAGGCAGGGACCGGUUCCCGAGAGCUACUUUCUCAGGACUUAGCCGAUUUUCCGGCUGUCUCAUUUCAUACGCAUUCGGGGACCGGUCUCUCCCACUAGGGACCGGUCCCCGAGAGCUGAAAAUCUGCAGUUUUGCAGAAUUUGAUUCUUUAGCUCUCGAAAACCUUCCACAACUCACUUUUGAUCAUUUUUAACACCUUCGGACUUUCCGAAGUGUGCCAUCCUCGCACUUUGGUCAAUUUGACUAAAGUUCGACAUUUAUUUUCCGAAUUUUCGGUAUAUUACAACAUCCGUAGCCUCGUUCCAGUGGAACAUCUCGAUAACCAGUCAAAAUUUUACAUUAGGAAGCUUUCAUGCACUCUUUUACCGCAUUUUGUAUUAUCGUCAAAGUCAAUGAAUAUUUUUAUACUAUAUUAAUAAAGAGAUCCCUUUCUUUACAUUGUUACGUCGUGGAUCUAAAUACAUCUGUAUAAUUUAUUAUUUUGUUGCACUGCGUUGAGCAUUAUUACACUAUUACAGCUAAUUUUGCACUAUUACUUCCGUCCAAUAUGCCAUUCUUUGGCUAUUUAACACGAUUAAAAAGUGCAACGCAUUGUAAACGAGCUCAACCAUGUUCAUUUAAGUGCAAUAAUAUCGUAGUAAUCGUUCAAUAGUUUAAAGUAAUGGUGGAACGACUCAAACCUUUUAUACAGUGCAACCUUUCCCGAGGAAACUUCGUUGUGUCCGCCGGUGUCCCUUCGCCUCACUUACCGGCCACCGCCAUCUUCGCUCACCCACUCGAGUAUAACGUUCACAUCAAUGUACUUACACUGUCGCAAUAUUUAAUGCGACUGGCGUGUGAAACGCUAUUCGCCAUUGCCGGUGUUUGCUGUUUGUUUCUCGCUAUUGUCUGUUUGUAGUGCUUACGUUUUAUGUUUUGUAUGGAUUCUUACGCUGUUUUCUGAAUAGGUUGGCCCAUACUAGCAUCCCACUAACUUUCAAACUGCUGUCGCUCCCCAUUACCCUAUUCUAAACCUUCACUGCGAAGCAAACUGCCUUGCAACCCCCAUAUUUCCUAGCAACCGCAUUGCUCUUUGUGACCACCAUCUUCUGCUUCGAAUCCCAUCGGUCAAGAAACGACCUAUCUAAAUCUACGUAGCUUGUAAUGGCGUCGAAGUCGUCGCAUUCUACUGAUUCAUUGGCUUCCGGCGGCCGCAAGGCACCUUCGCGGCCGGUUGCCGGCGGCCCCGCCGAUAGAUUCAUUGUGAAUUCGCGGUGUUUCGUCGGAGCAUACAGGAAGACUUAUGCAUCUGUCGUGAAGCCGCAUCAUCUCCCCGUUAUCCAACGGACGGUAUUCGGUAAUAUCUUACACUUCCCCGACAUCACCUCAGAUAGGCCCAUGCUGGAGUUAAUCCUCCGACAUUGGAAGGAGGGUGUAGAAUUCGAAAUAGGCCCUCAAGUUAUACGCUUCACAGCCAAGGAGGUGGCAGUUCUUCUUGGAUUACCCCUGUCGAGCCAGGCUCUAGACCUAACCCUCAAUUUAGGGUCGGAUAUUCAUAAUCAGUUUCUUGAGAGAAAGAAGGUCGACCGCAAGAACCUGGAGGUGAUGUUAAAGGAGAUGUCAAAUAAGCAGGGUGAAGAGGACAUUACCGACUUCGUCAAAUUACUUAUUGUUUAUUUUUUUUGUUGUAUUCUUUUCACCAAUACCAAUAAUCUCUGCCCCGAAAGACUGGUGGGGCUUGUAGAUGAUCUCCCCACACUGUCACGGUACAAUUGGCUGGAAGCAGUACACCGGCUUAUAAUUGACAGCCUAUGCUCCGCCGCGGCCAAAUUGCAAGCUAAUUCGAAGCGGGUAGGAUACGUUCUUGGAUGCACCCCGCUUCUCCUAGUAAGUGUAUAUUGUUCAAGUAAUCGUGCAAGAUAAUUAUUAUGUGUUUUCAAUCGUUCAUGCGUGUACAGAUUUGUAGUGUAAUCGUGCGAAAAUAAUCUAUUGUAUGCUUAAAUCUAGUAACUGUGUAAUGUAAUAUACCGAAAAUUCGGAAAAUAAAUAUCGAACUUUAGUCAAAUUGACCAAAGUGCGAGGACGGUACACUUCGGAAAGUCCGGAGGUAUUAAAACGAUCAAAAGUGUGUUGUGGAAGGUUUUCGAGAGCUAAAGAAUCAAAUCCUGCAAAACUGCAGAUUUUCAGCUCUCGGGGACCGGUCCCUGGUGGGAGAGACCGGUCCCCGAACGCGUAUGAAAUGAGACAGCCGAAAAAUCGGCUAAGUCCUGAGAAAGUAGCUCUCGGGAACCGGUCCUUGUCCGAGAGACAGGUCCCCGAGAGACCGGUCCCCCAAAGAGAGACCGGUUGCCCUGCGCGCAGCAACUCUGGCUGCGCGGAGAGAGCCUUCGGGAACCGGUCCCUGAAGGAGAGACCGGUCCCCGAGCCCGAAAUCUGCCCAGUCCAGGCAGUUGAAUAAGAUGAAAGUUGAGGGGUUUAUUUGCAUUUUUGCAACCUAUGGGUUAUGUAGAGGGCUGAGAGAGCCUUUUCUCUCAUUCUCUCCCUCACACACACUCCCUUCUCUCCCUCUCUCUCUCUAGAAGACAAAGGAGAAGAGAACAAAGAAAGAAAAGAAGGAAAAGAAGACAAAGAAGGUGAAGAAGAAGCUUUUGGAGCAAAGAGGCUUCAUCUCCUUCUUCUCUAGUGCAAGAAAAUGAAGCUUACAAGGUAAGCUUUGAACCCUAAUGUAGUAAAACCCUAGAAAUGGGUUUGAAUGAACCUAGAAAUGGUUUCUAAUGGAAUAUCUAGUAGUUUGAAGCUUUCUUUUUGCUUCUUUAGAGAUCAAAACCAUGGUUGAGCUCAAGGUGAGCUUCAACCCACCUCUAAUGGUGAAAUCUAAUCUAGGAUUUUGGAAAGCCUAAGAAUGGUUCUAAUGGACUAUUUAGAGUAUAUUGAAGCUACUUUUGCUUCCCAAUGAGAUCAAACCCUAGGUUUUGAUAUACAUGGGAGCUAGGGCACCCAAAUUGGGGCUUUUGCUCAUGAGGGUUUCUAAGUGCAAUUGGCCCUCUAGAAAUCUAAUUGGGGGUAUUUCCGACGCGUUGGUGCGUUCGAAUUAACGUUACGAAAAGUCUAUAGAAAGAUAUGGGCAAAAUAGCCUAAGUUGGCUUCGUUUUGCCGCAGGUGAAGAACGAGGAGCCUAUAAAUCCCAAGAAAAUCGUCGGAGCACCUAAAUAGACCUACGAGGUGGGUGGUGCUUCUCAAACUCAUUGAACUUCUCUCUAUGCCUAAUGUGUCAUUCAUUGAGCAUGUGUAUAUAUAUUGUUGCAUGCAUUUUAGGUAAAGUAAUGAUGAAAAUGUGAUGUUGCAUGAUUGUGAGUACAACUUGCAUAAUAUGAUGAAUAAGAACUAUGUAAAUGUCAAAAACCCUAUGUGUAUGCAUGAGAGAAAAGUGAGCACCCAAGGUGAGCAAAAGAACAGAGUGACACAAUGACAUAGAUCGAGUGGCAUUUGAUAAAGUUAAAGUGAAAUGACACUAGAGAUAGUGUGAGGUAAAGAACCAAUGUAAUGUAAAGAAUGACGAAAAUGACAAUAUGUAUAAAGUUAAAGUAAAGUGGGGCAAUAAGAACAAGAAAUGUAAAGAACAAGAAUGUUAAAGAUGGCAAAAGUAAAAGAAAAGUAAAGAACAAUGAUUGCUAGAGUUAGCAACAUAAAGUGAUGAAAGAACACUAGAGCUAGUGUAAAGUCAAGAUUGAACUUAUAAAUCCUUUGAGUUAAGGAUAUGAUCAUACUUGCUAUGAGUUCCGUGCUCGAGGGCGGUCGCUCCCCCUCGGGCGAUGCGCUCCGGAGUUAUGCAUCACGGGUUGGAGUAAACCCGAAGGACGGUCCUAGCGGGUGAGUUCCUGCGAUGAUGGACUUAAUGUGAAGCAAGUUAAUGUGGCGAAACCCCCGGGUUAGCCUUGAGAUUAAAGAAUAAAGAACAAAGAGCAAAGAACAAAGAACAAAGUGUAAAGAUAAAGAACGAAAGAAUUUGCAUAAUCUGCAUAUGUUAAUGUUGAGCAUAUUCCUUGCUUUUGUUCAGGCAUAUUAGCAUCAUGUUGUAGAUUGGUUACUAUAUUUCAGCUUAUCCUUUCUAUUAUGCCUGAGUUAGUCCUAGUGGGAAAGUCGGUGAUGUUGAGGCCGAACCCACUGGGAACUUUGUUGUAGUUCUCACCCCACUAUUUCCACAGAGCCGGGACCGAGUGAGCCGGCGAGCGACCGAGGUAAAGGUAUCGCGCCUUAGACAGAGGCCACCAGAAUUGAGUUGGGUUUGCAUUUUGAUAGUGGCUACCCUAUGUUCAUCUUCUGUACGUGAUGAUUAGUAAUGUAAAGAAAAGAAUGUAAUGUGUAUUUUGAGGUAAAUGUGAUGUAAGAAAGAAAUGAUGAAAUGAUGUAAUGAAACGCAAAGAAUCCUAAAUGUAAGAAAUGGAUGCAAUGUAUAUGAUCUAAAAUGAAUCAUAUUACUUGUGUAGAAGUUUAGUUUUCCUAUCUUUCACUAAUGGCUAUUGCUUACCCUCGUGUAAGCCGUUUAUGUAUGUUUCCGCUAGUGCAUUUCUCGUUGAAUUUGUACGUGUGAUGAGCCUUGGGCGGAUAGGGGAAACUCUGUCCGUUCGGCGUCUGUUUGACGUGCUCGGGUCGGGCCAAAUUGGUAUCGGUCCCGGGGCGUGACAGUGUAAACUCUAGUGUAAUAUUGUCUUUGUAUUCAGGUGUGGAUAUACGAGCACACUGGAUAUAGAUGUCCCCUGCCUUCCCAUCGUGCAAUAUUUUCUCGUGUCCAGAGGUGGGAUACGAUUAGAUGGUCUCGUCGUUCGCGGGGAUCAUCGAGAGUGAAGGAAGAUUUUAACUUCACUACAUGCUGCCGCAGGCUUGACCUCUCCCCGGAGGAACUACGCCUGGUGGGUGUCGUGGCUCAAGUUCCACGGCGCCACCGCCGCCCCAGGAAUGAGGAACCUCCGGGGGGUUAUAAAGAGGUGAUGGCGGCAAUUAGCCGUCUGGAGUCCGUGGUGUUCAGUCUUGCCACCUCCGUUGCCGGCAUACUGAGCAAUCCGGCACUCCUACCAGCACCAAAAUCCACCCUGGCACCUAUUGGAAGUAUCAAAAGCAAGAAGAGGAGACAUGAAGGAGUGCAAAUACCAAGCCCUCCACCGUCUAAAUCAUCUAAGCGAUCGACACAGGGAGCUAAAAAAGGAAAGAUAGGAACGUCCAUAUUGGCGAUGCCCGCACCGAUCUCGGCCAUUAAGGCGAAGCCCGAAAUCGGUAAAGAACGGUCGAGAUCUUCUUCGAAAUCUAGAAAGGAUGGGGCACGCCAAAAACUAGAGAGUCCGCCAAAGGCUCCCAAGGACUCUCGUAAAAAUCGCACGCUGGGGAGGGGCAAACGAUUUCGAAGCCGUACAAUCUCCGACCUCGCUGGGGAUGAAAGAAUAAAGCCGACGACCCAAUUGCCGACGUAUGCGACGUCCUUAUUAUUUUACAUUCUCAACAAACGAUUGAUUCUAAUAUGGCAUCUCCAUAAUAGUGUAACUCUACAAGACUUGGAUUAAUAAAAUCAUGUUUUAGUUCUAUAAUUGUGUAACCUUUAUUAUAAUCGUGCAUCAUAUUUUAGAGUAGUGUAACAUAGAACACAUUAUUUAUAUGCAGGUCCCCCCACCGAGACGGAGCGUCAAGUCACAAUCGCCGCGCCCGCUCAAUAUAUAUGAAGAAAAUAUCGAAGAAAGCGACAGUCGAACAGCGGGACUCUUCGCCAGCGAGUCAGUUUUGCAUAGAGAUGAAGUAUGUAAUAGUGUAAGUUGUAAUUAAAUAGUGUAAUUCCUAACGAAUUUGUUUAUGUGAUGUCAAAUAUUUUUUGAAAAUGUCAGCUGAUGGACAUCGUCAUCGAAAUAUGUGAAGACAUCCAACCGUUAUCUUCACUACUAGAGGUGCCGGCGGCAGAGGAAAAGGGGGAGGAGGAGGCCGCGGAGAAAGCGGCCGCCGAGAAAAUUGUGGAGUCGGCUGUUGGGGCGGUGGAGGUGGAGGUUGCACCAGUGACAGCGCCGGCGGCGGAGGAUGCAUGCUCUGAGGAAAAGUUGGAGGCGGCGACAGCUCCGGCGGAGGAUGAAGAAAAGGAGGAGGUGGAGGCUGCACCAGUGACAGCGCCAGCGGCGGAGGAUGCAGGCUCUGCGGAAAAGGUGGAGGCGGCGACAGCACUGGCGGAGGAUGAAGAAAAGGAGGAGGUGGAGGCUGCACCAAUGACAGCGCCGGCGACGGAGGAUGCAGGCUCUGAGGAAAAGGUGGAGGCGACGACAGCUCCGGCGGAGGAUGAAGAAAAAGAGGAGGCGACGGCGGCGGCGGAGCAUGUGGUUAAGGAGGCGAAGGCGGCGGCUGAUGAUGUGGUAAAGGAGGCGAAGGCGGCGGCGGAGGAUGUGUUCCCGGCGCCUACCCACACUGCGAAGUCUUCCAUGCCGGAACCCAGCACUAUACCGGUAUGUGAAUAUUGCACUAUUAUCGAUCUUUAAUGCGAUUUAGCUUAUAAUAGUGUAAUAAGGUCCAGUAAUGGUGUAAUUCAUUGAGUGUAACAGCUUAUAAUAGUGUAAUAAGGUCCAGCAAUGGUGUAAUGCAUUGAGUGUUUAACUCUUUAUUUGAUUUCUAUACAGCCCCCAAUAAUUAUCGACAUCCUGGAGUUGAAAGAAACGUAAAAAAAACAAAAGGCCCAAAAACUUAAAUUGAAGGUACCAUUAUCUUCAGCUAAUCGGGAUUUAAAAUACGACGGCAAGGGAGAGUUACCAAAGGAGGAUCAAGAGCGAAUUGAAAAAUUCCUGACAAGUACCAAUACCGAACCAGUAAGAGUGCCUUCGAAGGGUAUUGACAUCGGGAGGAUUGACUUCAUUGACCUAACAAGUCAUAUGGCCUUUGUCAGCUCUGAUAUUAUCGACGCCUACCAGCAUUUACUGGAGUAGGCAGAAGGCCACAAGUGCAUAUACACCACGUCCUUCCUUUGUCAGACAAUAGGAACAUCAAUGAACCCCGCCGAGAUGUUUUUGCAAGACAUCAACGAGGAGGUGAUUACUGGGGCAAAGUACUGGUUCAUCCCACUCUUCCACUCCGACCACUGGCAUUUGCCAGCGGUCGAUCUCCAAGCCGGAAAGUACAUCCACCUAUCGUCCAUUAAAAAUCCUAAAUACAACGCUGGGUUUGAGACAGCGGUAAGUAUUUUCUUUUUAUAUAUAUAUAAAANUAUAUAUAUAUAUAUAUAUAUAUAUAUAUAUAUAUAUAUAUAUAUAUAUCGUCCAGUAAAAACCAGGCUUUCUAAUUAGUCCAAUGUUUUCUUAUGUAGUGUAAAUACAUAGGUAAUUUUUUGCAAAAUAAAUUUUUCGAUUUGUUUCUUCGCCGCGGUACCCGUCCAGUCGACUGGGAGAUGAUCAACAGGGAUGACAUCCCGAUGCAAGAUCAAUCAAAUGAUUGCGCAAUCUUCCUUUUAACAUACGAAGAAUACUUGCAGAAGGGGUGGAACUUGAACUUCUCCCAGAAAGAUAUAACGAAGAAACGCGAGGAGAUAACAACAGAAUUUUUGCGGCAUUUUUACUCACAAUAAUUCUAGCCUUAUUCAUUCGAUUAACAAAUCUUUAAUUUGUAUAGUCAAUUUAUUUUUAUUGACUCCAUCCGUGUAACAGUGCAAUGUAAUGUACAUAAUGGUGCAUUUUAUUGUAAAAGUGGUGUAAAAAAAUUCAUCUUAUAUUAUAACGGUGCAAUGUAAUAGACAUAAUAGUGCAAUUUUUUGAAGAAGUGGUGUAAAAGAAUUCAUGAUGAUUGUAACGUUGCAAUGUAAUAGACAUAAUAGUGAAAAGUUGUUAAACGAAUCCACUUGUAUUCUAACGGUGCAAUGUAAUUGUCACGCCCCGAGCUCCGCCGAUUUGGUCGGAUUCGAGCACAUGACAGACGCCGAACUGACAGUACCUCCCCUGUCCGCCCAAGGCUCCAACAACAAGUAUAAUACAAGCAAAUCAACAAGGAGAAUUGCGAGAUAUAUUAGGUUUGCACGAGGGCAAACAACAACCACAGUGAAAGCAUCGAACUAACUAAACAUCCAACAUACAUGUCAUUUGAUCUCAUUUGAAUCAAACACAAGUAGUCAAACACAUUUACAUUCAUUACAUUAUUCUUGCAUUACCCAAAAUACAAUUUACAUUACAUCACUUUUACUUUACAAUUUCAACAUACAAAAGUUGAAUACAUCAAGAGUAGGGUAUGCCUAUAUAACUCCGGGGUCGCUAUCUACGGCGCGACUCCCUUGCCUCGAUCCUCCGCCGCCCCGCUCGCAUAUGGAUCUGCAGGGUUAGUGGUAAUGAGAACUAGAACGAAGUUCCCAGUGGGUUCGGCCGCCGACCACGCCGAUUCGCCCACUAGGUCUAAUUCAGGCAUAUGUAUUUCAAUAAAGAAGAAUAACAAACCAACUAAUGCACUUCUAAUACAAUGCCUGCAAAAAAACGAUUCACAGAUAGAUAUUCAUAUUCAAAUACAUGAUUAUUAUGCAUGCAUGUUCUUUUCACUUUCCUUUGGCCUUUACCAAAUCAACCUGGGGUGCUCCUGGUUUACCCCAACUCACAGUCCGCACAUCCAUCUAACGGGGGAGGCACAAGGCACAACCACCCGAAGGAUCUUCGCUGGGCACGUCCACCCGUGGUGCAUUUCUUCUCCGGAGUACACCGCCCGUGGAGGAGCGACCUCGCACAAGCCGGAACCAAUACAUGUGAGUAUGAUCCCAUCCUCAAAUUUGAGGAGGUAUGGCCAACCUGUCACUGUCUCAAGGCCGAUGAAUGGUUACAACCUAUUCAUGCACAUACCGUCACUUGCCAAUGUCAUGGUGGUCCUAAUGCCACAAUACACAUAAUGUCACUCUGGUAAAACCUUGUUUAACUAUUCACUCAUCGAUGUCAAUCGAGUCACUAAUGUCCAUGUCGCCUUUGUUUACUACGGUCACAGUCAUUUCUUACAUUCACAUGCAUAUAGGGUCUUUCACUAUUCUUGUUCACAUGUUUCUAUAUCAUUACAAUAAUCUCACGCAGAUAAUUGUCACAACCAACAUAUACUGUUCAUUACCCUACAUGCAAGAAUGCCAUAAUCUCAACAUGCUCAAAGAAAGGAUAUAGACAUAGAAAGAGAUCCGGUAUUUCCGGAUAGCACCCCCCACCUUUAUGUGUCACAAGGAUGCCACGAUUCUGAUUCCACGAUUUUUAGGCUUGUUCGCCGCGAGCUACGGCGAUCUGUACUAUUUCAACUUGUUUUCUCAAUAUCUUCGCGCACGCUCGUCGUAUCGCCGAACCGAGCGCACCGACGCGUUCGUAGACCUACCAAUUUGGUUAAAAUGAGAUCAAAUCCAAGUUUGAACCUCAAAAUUACAAAAUCCUAAAUAUAGGUCCCUCGACAAAGUCAUCUUCCCCAACAUAGGUCCUUACACAUGAGAAACUUGGGGAAAAUACUCUAACCCAUCUCCUAGAAGCACACUAGAAGGAAAAAUCCAAACUCUAGCUCAAAACCCAUGAGAACUCACCUUUGGAGUCCAAAGCUUCCUUCAAAAGCUUUGAUCAACCUUGCUCUACACCUUGGAGAGCUUCUUCUCCAAGCUUGCUCCUUCAAAUCCCCUCUUGGUCCAAGCCCUAAAGAGAGAGAGAGAGAGAAGAGAAGGAUUUUAGAGAGAGAAAGGGAAGGUUUUGAGAGUGAGAGUGAGAGUGAGAACAAAUGGUUCUCACUCAUGCCCUAGCUCAAAUAACCCUUCACAUGCCAUAUUUGCAUCUAAACCCCUCAACUUUUCAUUUUUACAAACAACCCUCACUGGGCAUUUUCGGGCUCGGGGACCGAUCUCUCCCCUUCAGGGACCGGUUCCCGAGAGCUACCCUGCACUCAGCGCAGAAGGGGACCGGUCUUCCCCUGAUGAAACUGGUCUCCGGGGACCGGUAUCCCGCCGAAGGACCAGUUCCCGAGAGCUCAGUUUCCAGGACUUAGCCGAUUUUUCCCUCUGCUUGGCUGAUCAACGUUCGGGAACCGGUCUCUCAUCCAAGGGACCGGUCCCCGAGAGUAAAAAUUCUGGAAAUUUUCCAGAAUUGCAGUUUCACUCUCUCGGGUCCCUUUAUACUUCAUAUAUAGGCUCCAAUACACUUUUAGCCUAUAGUAACUCAUUCCUUUCCGUGUUCCACUCAUUUCGACGGAACUCGGCACGAUUUACGGAAAAGUGAUAUGUUACAGUAAUAGACAUAAUAGUGCAAUUGAAUGUUUAAGUGCGGUAGAGAAUCCAUGUUGGAUUGUAACGGUGCAAUGUAAUAGACAUAAUAGUGCAAUUCAUUGUAGAAAUUGGUGAUUUGUUUACGGCUAUUACACUAUUUUAUUUCCAUUCCCAAACAUCGAAAGUUGCUUUACCUUCCUGAGGCGUAAUUCUCUUACAAUCCGGUAAUUAUAUGAGGCCCAUGCGCUAUACGCAACAGCGCCGUUUUAUGAAAGAGCAUUAAAUGCAAGCCAUUAAAGAGCCAUUAAUGCAGCAAGCGCGGGAAACGCAGUUUUAGGGCGACGAUAUUCUAUUCGCCAGAGCCAGUGUUUGCUGUUAGUUUUUUGAUUUUUUUAUUUAUAUGAUUUGGAAGUGCAGCAGUACUUGUCUCAAGGACUGAAGGGAAUAUAAAAUCUAAUGAUGUCACUGUCGAUAUAUCUUGUUGAGGUACAGUUGAAUAUGGCACAGUUACCGAAAUAACAUAUAGAAAUUGAAUUUGAAAUAUCAUUGCAAUAGAUAGCAUAAUAGUGUAACAGAAGUCAAAAUUAGUGCAAUACAACCGCAUAUGCAUGGUCGACUUGUCCAAAUGGUGCAAGGCUUGCGUCGUUUGGAAAAAAUUCUGGCGGAUUAGAAAUAAAUUUUGGCGGGAACAGAAGUAUUAUUUUCCGCCCCAUGCACAACUUAACAACUCAUGCACGUAAACUGGAUUAUAUUAUAUAUUGAUGAAAGAGUGUUUUUGAAUAACUUUUAGCUAAUUUUCUGUAUCCAACUCUUACAAGUGAUGGAUAACGCUGAAAUUCCAGUGCACUACAAUUUUAAUGAACGUUUUAAGGAGGAAGGAGGCAUUGUCAAUUAUGUAGGAGGGUCCAGCCGGCUCAAUUUCAUCAGGCAAGGCGAUAAUUUUAAUUCCCUGCAAGCAAUGUUCUGCAAGUACAUGAAUACUUCACAGGAAUCCUGCAAGAUCGAAAUUAAACUUAGCUAUAGUGGGAAUCUCAGCAAACUCAUUGACAUUGUUGACGACGGCGAUCUCGGAAACAUACGGAGACUCUAUAAAACCAACGCGUAUCUGAUGGAGCUUUAUGCUGUGAGUAACUUAGUCGAGAGAAAGGUUGCUACUUGUGAUCCCGAUGAUAUAAACGAAUUGCUUACAGACGAACAGCUGGAGCUGUUGAUUAACAGCCGUUCUGGGGAUGCAUUUACUCCUUAGCAGACACAUUUUGAAAAAGUUGGCUCGUAAGUUACACUAUUAUUUUUUUUGCACCAUUACCGAGCCUUAUUGCACUUGUAACCUCUUUAUUUUCAGCGGUUGCACUACUCUCAAUGCACUUUUGCACCAUUAUAUUUUACCUCAUUCAAUUGUAAGCAAUAUAUAUUAUACGAUUGCACUAUUACAUAAUUUUUUCAUUAUAUAUUAUUUUUAUGUUGCACCGGUUCGUAAUAUCUUGCAUCAUUACUUCGACCUCUUGCACCGUAUGAACUUUACACAUAAGGGUUCUUGUACUAUUUAAUAUUUACAAUGCACUCCUUGCAUGCUUUCACUUAUGGUGCAGAUCUUCUUAUUCUAUUCUCAUUGACGAUGCGGAAGCGGCAGACAGUGACGACGGUUUUAUUAUUGCUGAUUUGAAAGACGAGUUAGAUUCCGACGAAAGAAACGGUAUCGUCUCGACUUCUCCCGACGCACCUCAUUGGACAUACAGCGCCAUGGAUAUCCUCCCGUUGCGGCAAAGCGAUGUAAUAGGACUUACUGCUGAGCAAUUUGGCCACGACGAGCUUGAAGAAGCCCUCAUUGUAAACAGCUCUACGAUGGAGUCAGUUGUUGAUGUCGCAGAUGCGGACGAUGUCCAUGAGGGCCAGCUCUACAAGAUGCAAGGCGACUUCUAACGAGCUCUCAAAGCAUACGCAAUGAAAAGAGGUUUUGAGUACGCACCGACGAAAUGCAACGACCAUAAGAUAACCGCACGAUGCCACGUCUUAUAUUGUCCUUGGAGAAUAAAGGCGCGUCAAGUACCAGGAAUUGCUCAAUAGUGCGUGAAGAAAUUUGAUUCGCAACACACUUGUAGCAGGGCAAUAGGGAGAUUGGGCCAUAGGAAUUGCGAUGCGGCUUUUAUAACAGCAUUUGUUAGGGAGCAGGUGGUGGCAAACAAGAAAUACACGCCGAAGAUGGUUCAGACCGAGAUUCUUUGGCAGCACGGCGUAAAAAUUUCAUACCGGAAAGCCUACCGGGCCAGGAAUUGGUCCUUCAAGAGGUGCGCGGCGAUUUCGAGGGCUCGUUCGCUCUACUUCCCUCGUACAUGCAAGAGUUGAGGAGUGGAGAUGCGGAAACAUGUCUCCAAUUACUUUACCAGGACGAGGGUCGUUUUCAUCAUUUUUUCUGAGCUUCGGCGCAGCAAUUCGAGCAUUUAGGAAGCACUGCAGGUCGCUGUUGGUCUGGAUGGUACGUUAUUGCACUAUUACGCCACUAUCACAUCAUUAUUUUACUAUGUUGCACUAUUAUAUAAUAAAUUCAUGAAUGUAACACAAUUAUUUGCACGAUUACACAAUUAUAUACACGGUUUUUUAUUCUUACAGGAACCUUCCUAACUGGUAAGUUUAGAGGUUGUCUGCUGACGGCGUCAUGUAUUGAUGGGAAUAACUGCAUAUUGCCAUUGGUGUGGGCAGUUGUUGAAGGUGAAAAUUGCUAUUCCUAGCAUUGAUUUCUGGAACAGUUACGGGAUGGCGUCGUUAGUGAUCGCGACUCCAGUAGAGCAAACAGUGUACUUACUAUCGUUUCCGACCGCCAAAAGGGAUUGAUUGAUGCUGUAUCCGAUGUUUUUCCGGAUGCAGCUUAUGGUUAUUGCAUUUACCAUCUGUCUACCAAUCUCCCGCACGCGCCAAAGAAUACACCUGCGUAGAGAAGAUUUUGGGCGGCGGUGCGCGCAUACAUUGUCGCGGAGUUCAACAAAUACAUGGAGAAGAUUAAGGAGUUGAACCCCGAAUAGUACAAGUAUGUGGUCAAGCUUCCUCGGCAUAGGUGGGCUACCCAUUGCUUCCUGGGAAGGCGUUAUUCAAUGCUCACUUCCAACUGUGCCGAGACGAUAAAUAGUGUAAUUCGACAUUUAAAGGGCCUUCCAAUUACCUACCUCGUCGAGGAAACACGAAAGAAAACAGCUUGUUAUUUUUACCAGAGAAAACAUAAUGGGGAGAAUAUUACCAGUGUAGUAACACCCUAUGCAGAAAAGAUUUUAGGUAUUAUCGUUUAUUUUUCCCCAUUUAAUCAGUAUAUUACACUACUUAUCAAUCGGUUACAUGUAGUCAUUACACUAUUUGUCCCACCCUUUGGACUGGCUUGUUGUUUUUCAGGUAAUUGCAGCCGACUGUACGGAUGUUGUGGAUCUUUCCAAAAAGACAUGUUCCUACAAGCGAUGGGACAUUGACGGAAUUCUAUAUAAUCACGCCAUGGCAGCAAUUUCUUUUAGGCUACGGGAUCGGUAUGAUUUUGUCGAGGAAUGGUUCAAGACCUCGACUUAUCGCGCAACCUACAACGAUUGCGUCCCCUCCACCAGAGGCAAAGAGCAAUGGCCUGCAAUACCAAGUAACGUUGUUCCACCACGGCCGCAAAACGUCUGCAUACAACCGGGCAGAAGAAAGGUUUCGCGGCGAGAGUCUAUUGCUAACGACUUAAUAAAGAAGCGGUGCCGGAAUUGCCAGAGAUGGGGGCACAACAAAAGGUCAUGCAAGAACCCUCCUGUGACUAGAGCAAACCAGCCGCGCGCGACGACAUCCGCGGGCGCACCGCAGGAAACAUCGAAAAAUCCAUACGUCUUAUUGUAAUAGUUCAAGGCUAAUGCUAAUAGUGUACAUAUAGAUAAUUUGAUUAAGUAAAUUUUUGUAAUAGUAUAAAAUAGAAGAUAAUAGUUCAACAUAUUUAAAAAAUAGUGUAACGAGGAUCUCAAAAUUUUGACUGUUAAGUGAGGUUGCACUGGAACGAGACUACGGAUGCACUGUUAUAGCGGUCAUUGCACCAUUUAUACUGCAGUAGAACCUUCCCGUUGCACUAAUAUCCCUGCGCACAGAGGCGAAUUCGACACUGCGGCGGCGACGGCUAGAGGUAGCGCAGCGGCGGAUAAAGAGGUCGUGGAGCCUCCUCCUACUCUGCCCCGCUAUUCGACGACCCCCAUGUCCUUUCAUUUGCACAAUAGCUUAAGAUUACAUUAAGAAAUAAAAUAAGUAGGUUAUGGAGAGGUUGCACUGGAACGAGUUUACGGAUGCACUGUUAGAAGGGCGGUUGCACGAUUUCUCCUGUCAUAGCUCCUUUCUGUUGCAUUAUUAUCCCAAUUGCGUGCGUGCACUUAAUGUCAUUUAGCUUCAGAAAAUAUCUUAAAGUCUUAAAGCCGAACAGCAAACAGCAGGUACGGCGAAUAGCGGGGGGGAUGUCGUCCGUUUUCCAAGUAAUGAGCGAGGUUGCGUAAAGCGGAAGUGGCGCAUUUAAUGAGCGUCAGACAGUAUGGCAUGGUCCGAGUUCCGAGUAAUGAGCGAGGGAGGAGAGGUUGCGUAAAGCGGACGCGGCGCAUUUAAUGAGCGCCAGCCCGCGCGGCUUUUGUAUACGAGGGGUGAAAUGAAAUUUAUAGUUAACGAAGUCUUUAAGUGGUGUAACUAAGAUCAAAAGAGUUCAAGAUUUUCCAGUAAAGUGUGUAACAGUACGAUAUGUAGCACAAUUUUUUCACAGAAUUGGUGAUAACAUGAACAUAAUAGUGCAAAAAUGUCCGAAAUUUAUAUUAUACUAUGAUGUAAAUAGUGCAACAUUGUUUGUUAAAUAUUGUAACCGGUAAAUAGUGUAACAAAUUCGUAAGGAGUCGAUUAACAUGUGAACAAGAAUUACAUUAUCUUUGAAGCCGAGUACACGAUUUUAUAGUACUUUGCAAAAUACAAAUAAGAUUUGCAUACAAUGUAACCUUCUAUUACAUCAACUAUAACAAACUUUUCAUAAUAAUUAAUUAAGAAAAGUAUGUAAUCAUCAAAGUUUCUCUGCAAUUCCACACGCACAUAGCCGACGCUAACAGGUAUAGGCCAGGGAAGACUGCCAAAGGAGACUGCGAUGAGGAGGAGACUGCCGAAGGAGACUGCGAGGAUGAGGAGGCUCGUUCAGAAGGGUAGAUCCAGCAACGAGGCACUAAGAUUGAUUUGCACUAUCUGGAGUGCUUUAUAUGCCUCGAGCCUUUUGGAGCUCCGCUCUACCAUGAAACAGACAAUUCAAUCAGCAAAACAUAAGAAUCCAUCAAUAACAAUAAAGAUAUGCAAGAAUUUAAGAACCUGUAUGAGAGGAGGGCCAAUGGGCUCGUGGCAAAUAAAGCACUCCAGAUAGUGCGAAUCAAUCUUAACGCCUCAUUGCUGGAUGGUACCCUUCCGAGCGAGCCGCCUAUUCCUCGAACGCUGCUUCAACUCUCUACCGUUAAUAGUGCAACGUAGGGUAAAAUAGUAGAACUAAGUUCAUAAGGGUGCAACGAUGUCAUCAUAAUAGUGCUAUGGAUUCAGCGAACAGCAAACACACGGUCUGGCGAAUAGCGUGGAUGAUAUACGCUCCCUGCGCAGGGCGCAUUUAAUGCUGCUAAAAGCACAUAGCGUAACAUGUACGUUAUAGCGUCCCUUCUGUGAGGCGAAGAGACACCGGCGGGUAUAUCGAAGCUGCCUCGGCAAAAGUAAAAGCACUAUUCAAACGUUUUUUUAUUUUUAUUUUGUUUAAAUAUGGCUUCUUCAGUUUCAUUCCGCGUAAAGGCGUUACACUGUUAUGACGAAUGUUACUCUAAUAUCGCGCCAGUAUUGCACUUUUAGAAGCUAUAUUACAUUAUGUUACUUGGCGUUCACUAUUAUUAGGGUCUAUCGUUGCACUAUUAUUAUACGAUUGAAUGAAGGAAUUGAUGUUUUUUAAGUGAUGUUACAGUAAUACGGCCCUUGAGGUGAGCAUUAGCCACUUUCUGUUCAUGAGAAAAACUAAUAUUUCAUGAGCAUUAAUAGUCGGUGACCUAAAUGGUUACGCAACCUACAAUACAAUAUAUAAAAGAGACUCUUUAUGGACUUGGGCAACCGGCAACGAGAAAACGGCGAUGAUGGAGGUACACAAGACGAGGGGAGAGAGCCGCAGGAGAGGUCGACAACAAGGAGGCUCGGUCGUAAGUGUACCAUCCAGCAAGGAGGCAUUAAGAUUGAUUCGCACUAUCUGAAGUACUGUGCUUUAUUUGCGACGAGGCACCACCUCUAUACCAGGUUCUUAAAUUCUUCCAGAUCUUUAUUCUUAUUGAUCGGUUCUAAUUUUUUUCUGACUAUACUGUCUCUUUACGAACAAUAUAGUGCCGAAACGUCAAUGCUAAAGUCCCUAGUGCAAAUAAAGCACUCGACAUACCCCUUCGAGCGAGCCUUCUCCUCUUCACCAUUUCAUCUUCCGUUAGAGGAACAGUAGCGUCUGCUCUGUGCGCGUGGAUUUGCCGGCUAGCUUUAAUGAUGAUACUAUACUUUUGUAAAAUGAAAGCCUACUUUUGUUCAAUAUUCAUGUUGAUGCGAAUGUUACAGUUGAUGUUGUGAACAUCGUAUUGUAUGCAAAACGUGUAUUAUAUGUUGCAUUUUCGUCAAAGACAAUGUAUAAUUUGCUUGUAUAUUAAUAAAAAGAUCCCUUUCUUUACAUCUUUACAUUCUUACACCAACGAUUUUUCUUGCAAUGGUUAGAGACUCAUUGCACCAUUUAGUCAAUUUAUUACACUAAUUGGUGAACUACCACACAAUUAAGUUUACAACGUUAAACGCAAUUUAUUACACCAUUUAGGAAGUAUGAUUUUUAAAGAGAUGUCUGACUAUUAUCUUCUUUAAUAAAUCAUGCGUUUUUAAACCAUUGCACUGGCUAUUAUCGGCGUUUAAACCAUUUUAAAGAGAUGUCUGACUAUUAUCGGCAUUUAAAGGUGCACUAUUAUUAUAUCCACCUCUCGAACGCACCCUUACAAGCUUAGUACGAGUCUUUUUCAAACCAUUGCACUGAUAUUACUACCGUAUUGCACUCUUACAAGUUUCGUUGCACUCAUUUUUAAAUCCGUUGCACUGUUAUUAAGACCGUAUUGCACUCUUACAAGCUUCGUUGCACUCUGUUGUAAAAUAUUGUUCUGUUAUUCACACCGCCUUGCACUUAUUAUAUAGUUAAAAGAACGCGUGAUCUUUUAUGAGAAAACUUUACACAAUCGUUAGCCGUUAUGUCGCGCCUCUCGAACUCCGGACCUCGCCGGCGACCGUCCAAACCCACCGCCGAGCUUCUCAGCACACCGACUCUUAUAUGGCACAUCGCCGACCGUCCUACCCCGCAGCCGAUCGUCCUGCGCCGCGGACGCUUCGCCUGCAUUUGGAGGGGACACCAUUCAUUUGCACUUUUAAGUUCAGAUUAUAUUAAGAAAUAGAGAAAGUAAAAUUUUGAAUGGUUAUGUAGAGGUUGCACUAGAACGAUGCUAUGGAUGCACUGUUAGAAGGGCCGUUGCACCAUUUCUCCUGCCAUAGAACCUUCGCGUUGCACUAUUAUCCCUGGCGCGCGGAGGUGAAGUCGACACGGCGGCGGCGGCGAUAAAGACGUCGUGGAGCCUCCUCCCACUCCGCCCCGAUAUUAUCGACGGCCCCCAUGUCCUUUCAUUUGCACUAUUAGCUUAAGAUUACAUUAUGAAAUAAAAUAAGUAAAAUUUUGACUGGUUAUGGAGAGGUUGCACUGGAACGAGGCUACGGUUGCAUGUUAGAAGGUUCGUUCCACCAUUUCUCCUGCCGUAGAACCUUCGCCUUGCACUAUUAUCCUUGGCGGGCGGAGGUGAAGCGCCACGGCGGCGGCGGCAAUAAAGAGGCGGUGGAGCCUCCUCCUACUCCGCACCCAGUGUUUGCUGUUCAGUCUCUUCUCCGACGCCUCUGCUUCCUGAAACCAUUGAACUAUUCUGUCAACCACAUUGCACCAUUACAAUCACAGUUGUAGUCUUUUACCCUACGUUGCACUGUUAGAAGGGCAGUUGCACCAUUUUUCCUGGCGUUGCUUCUUCAUGUUGCACUAUUAUCCCUGUUGCGGGGAGUGCAGUUUUUGUCAUUUAUCUUGAGAAAUUGUAUUAAAGUCUUAAAGCCGAACAGCAAACAGCGGGGCCGGCGAAUAGAGGGGCGGAUGUGGUUCAGGUUCCGAGAAAUGAGAGAGGUUGCGUAAGGCGGAAGCGGCGUAUUUAAUGCCCGCCAGACCGUAGGGUAGGGUAGUAUACGUAUGUCAAAAAAUACGCGGGCGGCUUUUGUAUACGAUGGGCAUUUUGGUCUGGCGGACGAAAAAGCGGACCGAAUCUGCAAAAACGAAAAAGGUGGCUUGGUUUUGCAAAAGCCCAAAAUAAGUUUUAUGCAAAAUGGCCUUGGUUAUUUAACCAGAUGUAAUAAUUUUAAUUAUCUUUGGUCAUUUUAAUUAAUUCAUUAAUAAUUUUACCAUAUUCAAUAAUUUUAAUUAUCUUUAGUCAUUUUAAUUUAACUAAGUAUAAAAAUUUGUAAUGUACCGAACUUUGGAUAAACUAAUAAUGUGCAGAUUAAAUCAUGCUAGACGUGAUUGAAAUGAAUUUUUAGAAGUUUAGACUGAGUUUGGAUUGAAUUCAAAUCAAUUCGGAUCGAAUUGGAGUUUCGAAAGAGAAUAAAACUGAGUUCUAGACCUUUCGGACGCCCGGAAUAGGGUUUCGAGCGCUCAAAAUGGUUUUUACGGCCCGAUGCAGUGCCCGGAAUAAGUGGAUUCAAAAGAGCAAAGUUUGUGAGAGGCCCACUUUCGGGCGCCUGGAUUGUCCUGUCGGCACCCAGAUCUUUUCGGAUAUCAUCUGAGGGCGUCUAGAACCCCUUCGGACUCCCAAUGCAAGAGCUGGAUUGCAAUGGACAAAAUAUUCCAGCGUCCAAAAUGCCUUGCAGGAACCCGAAACAUCUUUCGGGCGGUCCCUUGCGUGCGUUUGAAUGGUUUUCGAAUGCUCAACCGGGAGCGGUAUUACGUGAUGGAAUAAACAAUAUGUAAGGAAGUGAAUCCUCGAAAUCCGAGAGUUGAACUUCGACCAGAAUCGACUAUUUGUCGAGUAGGUACCCUUCGGAAAGGCUAAAGAUGUCCAAAACACAAAAGUGCUUUGGAGUCGAGUUCACGAGAGCAAGAAAUGUGAAAAUCUGCACCUGACAUAUUUUGCUCUCGGGGACCGGUCCCUGGCAGGGAAAAACCGGUCCCCGAACUGAGGGAUGCAGCAGCGCGCGAUGCAACCGGUCCCUGGGCCUGAGGGACUGGUUCCCGAACUCGUAAACUUGGGGAGGUCCCAAGGGACCGGUCCCAGGCUGAAAGAUAUGGAUCCCGAGGAUCUAAAAGGUAAGUAACACCUAGAGGGGGGUGAAUAGGUGUAAAAACGGCAAACUCGAAAAUCUCGAUGCAAAUAAAACAAAGUAGCGGAAAAUAAAACAGCACACCGAGAAUUUAACGUGAAAAAACUCCAAAUCGGAGGGAAAAACCCACGGGACCGAUCACGCGAAGAAAAUCCACUAAGAAAACUUGAGUACAAGUGAUUUUGACAAAAAUACAUGACUCAAUUUACCGAUUUCUUGUUGAUGGUGAUCUUCGCCGGUCCUCGAUCGAUAGGAAUCCACCAAUCGACCUUGCUGCAACUCCUCGCAGCGUCAACGCCUCAACUCCUCGAAGCGUCCACCGAAUCCUCGGCUUCACGCGAAAUCCACGCGCCGAACCUCCUUCCGGAGCUUGUAGAAUCGAAGAUUUGUGAUGAUUUAACCUUUGAAUACCAUAAGCUAUGAGGGUUCACCUUUAAUCAAAAAUCUACUUGAUUCUCGUAUGAGUUAUCGAGUAAAAACGAAGAAUCAAGCCGAUUGUUGAUUGUUAGAAACUCGUUAUGUGAAUCGAAGCAUUGAAACGGAAAAAAAAAGUUUCUAGGGUUUGAAAUCAGUAAAUAUUCAAAGCCUUAGAUUUUAGAUGACCCCCAUAACUUAUUUAUAUGUUUAGAAGACUUAGAAAUAGACUAGGAUUGCAAAAAGUCCUUUUUAAAAACCUGUGUCGUCCUCAGAGACCGGUCUUCUCGAGGAGACCGGUCUGUGAGAGACCGGUCUCUCAAGUGAGGAACCGGUCCCUCACUGCGUGACCAAAAUCACAACGUUCGGGAACCGGUCUCUCAAGCUUGAGACCGGUCCCUCGCUGCGCGACAGAAAUACCAAGGUUCGGGAACCGGUCUCUCAUCUCAGGGGACCGGUUGCAUCAAAGCUCACGCAGUGAGGACCUUAGGGGAACCGGUCUCUUGACCUCAGGGACCGGUCUCCAAGUCCUCAAACCCCGUCAAGUCCUCGGGUCGGGUCUCCACACACUCGGCGUACUAUCGAUCUCGCGAUCCAAUACGUGGCGUUCCACGCACUCGGGUCUAAUCUCGGACUACCGUCCUGACCAAAACUCCGCCCUACCUAUAGGUAUCAGGCCGCUGUCUCUCACAGCUGACUGCGCCUGCCCAAUGGGCCCAGGCUCCAUAGUCUACAAAUGGUCCAGGCACGGGUCGUCCCCAAGCACUACCCGCCAACGUCGUCCUAUACGACAUGCUCUACAGAGCUAUCAACUCUAGCGACUCUUAGGCACCUAGUGCGAACCACCAGCCCUGAUGAGCGAUCCAUGGCUCGCUUCAUACUUAGCCCUGCUGAAGUGCUACUGCCAAUUCACUCGACCGGCUGAAUCGAAGCCGUACCUCACGAGUAACUAUACUCGAGCACUCUACGCCUCUACGGCGUCUCAUACAAAUCCAGCAUCAGGCAGCUUAGCCUAUGCACACUGGCCACACGAGCAAUAACUCGUCCACCUCAAUUCGAGGUACUACUAGGCCCACAGGCCAAGCUCGGCGCUAAUCGACCAAUUUCGCAGCAGUGGUUCACCCCCGCUUUUCGAUCUAUCGAAUCCACACCCGAACUACUCUUAGAAUAUUCGGGUGUCCCCGAACAUCAAGGCUCAACUCUCACAAUUUCUAAUCUAUUGCAUCUAGAGUUCACUCACAAUCUUGAUUUCCAUUACGAGCCUCGUUUCCUGUUCAAAAUCAUCACUAGCCAUUUGCUAGUACCACUUGGCUUUCUACCUGCUCUAGCCGGCGCUACACUCUCAUCCUGCUAGCAUGCUCGGGUACCUACCGACCCGACCGCUUGGUCCCUACUAAGCAAUGUAAUAAUAGUAGCAACUGACCAAUGAUGAAUGCAUGCUAUGCUUUAACUUGAGAUCAUGCAAAAAUAUGCUUGCUCAAUAGCUCAUACCAGCCAUGACGUCGUCAGCACGGCAGGCCCCGCACCUCGGGUCGCUUAUCCAUGGCCACCCGGCGCUCGUCGCGAACCCUUUGGUUGCAACGUCCUCAACGGCUGCUCUCCUGACCGUGCCGUAGGUGGCAUACCCGCGGGCUGUCCCAGAGAAGAAUAGGCCGUCGCUAGUGUCAGGGCCCGGCUAUCACCUUGCGGACACUCGUCCCGGACAUGGCCCGGCAGCCCACACUUGAAGCACUUGCCCUCACGCUGUUCACACUGUUGUGGGAAAUGAGAGCUCCCACAAAUCACACAUCUCGCCGAGGACCGAAUGUGGUACGUCCCCGGAGCUCUAGAUCGAGAGCGCAUCCUCACCGAGGUCUGUUGGGAACUUGACUGACUAUCAUGUCCACUUACUAGCCAUCCCUUUCCCUUUUCCUUGUAAUGCUCCUCGCGCUUCUCCCGCAGGAAUGCAUUGCCUUGUUCUAUCCAUAAGGCCCGAUCUAGGACUUCAGCAAAAGCCUGCAACUUAAGUACCUGCACUGCAAGGUACAAGUCCGGCCGAAGCCCCCGCACGAAGCAGUCAGCCUUAUCCUUGUCAUCCCGCACCACGUUCGGGACACAAUGCACGAUACGGAAAAAUUCCCACUCGUACUGCUUGACUGUGCGACUUCCCUGCCGCAGCUUAAGAAACUUCUCUUGAAGCUUUCUCUUCUCGCUAUUGGGGAAAUAUGCUGAGAACAUCGUUCCCCGAAACUCUUCCCACACUAUAGGAGGGAGACUAGGCAGUCUAUCUCGCUUGACGCCUUUCCACCACACCUUCGCCGAUUGCUUCAGGUAGUGCACGGCUAGGUUUACUUUAUCUCGCUCCAACGUGUAUAGAUCCUCGAAGAGUGUUUCCAUGGACUCGAUCCACAUCUCAGCAACCCACGGAUCUGCAUUUUCUCCAUCGAAGGUAAGCGGAUCAAAUUUCUUGAAAGUCAUGAGGGCCGCUAAAGCACGCUCCCUUUCCGCCGCAACCUCUGGGCUAACAAGGGUCGGGUCACCCUCCCCCAACUGAAACGUCUCUGCUGCAAUUCCCGGCUGUCCUCGACCAGCCGCGACUGGUGCCGCCACCAGUCGAUCCAUAGUUUCUUGGAGUCGUUCCAUUCGCUCCUCUUGGCGCAUAGUAGCCUCCUGCUGCCGUUGCACCACAUCAGCUUGUUGCCGCAUCACUCCAAUGAGUGUGGCCAAUUGAUCGCGAAGCUCCGAGUCUCCGCUCGCAUCGGUUUGCUCAGGGGCGCCACUUGUCCCCUCCCGCGCCGAUCCGGACGAAGAUCGCCUACGCGGUGCCAUCAUUUUCUGAAACAGGACAGCUCGAUUAGCUCUCGACCAACUCGGGUCGAACACGAGACCACUAAUACCAGCACAAAAGCGAAUCAGGCGAAAGUCAAAUAAGGACGUCUAUUCUCGUCACUUGGCUUUAUGUUGUGCAUGCACAACAUAAACACACUCGGUCGAGAAUAAACCAUACCUUGAGUCUACCUCUAAUAUCUGUCUUAGAGGUUAUGACACAACCCAAUCCAUUACCUUUCGCCACAAAUCACAAGUCCUCGUCUCUCACGAGCCUUAUUCUCCUAUGGUUCCACUAUCCUAGGGUCUCCUAGGUCAUCUAAACCAUUUUCCCAUUUUCUACUUUAUUCUCUGAUACCACUUUAUCUGUCACGCCCCGUGACCAACCGCCAAUUUGGACCGCGUCGCGGCGCUGCUAACAGACCGCCAAACGGACCGGGAUUUUCCCUGUACGCGGACAGAGUCUCCCCUGUACGUUCUAGGCGUCACAAUCCAAACAAUACAACGAGUGUUCCAACUAGGAACAGAUAACAAUCCAGAUUGCAAAGGAAGUAUCAAAUACAUAAAACUAACGGCUAUUACAAGCAUUCAUUCACAUUCACUUAGUACACCUCAGUUCAGUUUACAUUUUUACUUCCAAUUACAAUCACAUUAUUACGUCAUUUAAUUUACAAGUUUGAUACGUCUUGGUUCUUGCCUUCUAGUCCCCUAAGCUAGACUGCCUCAGGGUACUGCUACCUCGGUCUCUGUGGUAGGGUGCUAUCUACUGAGCUACGCCCUCACCUCGCGCCACCGCGCUGCACAUGUACAACCUGAAAACACCCCAAAACCACGUGGGGUGAGAACCAACUCCAUGGUUCCCAGUGGGUACGGCCACCCAAGGGAAAAGCUCGACCGAUAGGUCCGAGGAGGCACUGCAACAUGUUAGUUCAACAAUAUACCACAGAUAUAUAUAUAUUCAAUUGAAAUACAUGCCAUGCCUCACAAUAUGCGACAUGAAAGCCAUGCAACUUUAUGCAACAUCUAGUAGAUCAUUUGAUUCUACACUUUACUUAGCUACUCUUGGCUCAUAACUUUACUCUAAGGUCUCCAUUACCUCAGGAUGUCAACUCAGUCCACUGGCUUCUAAGGUCUCUAUUACCUUAGCUCAAGCCUCUAUCUCUAGCUCAUAAGGGUUCUUCUACCCUAUCACAGCUAGCCACACGACUCGGCUCCGAGUCAAUCAUCCGCGGAUAGCCCGCCCACUGGCUGCUCAUCAGCCUACCGCCCUCUCUGUCUCAGCCCCCUAGCGGCGAAGUCAUCGCACACGCUAAGCUCGGCUCAAGUCGCACGACUUGACCAUCUGGUGGCGAUCGCGUUGCACUUACCCAGCGUGAGCUCGAGUCCUGACACAUCGUCUGGCGACGAACGAAUCGCACCACACCCAACAACGGUACAUGUCAGACUCAGUCACCUAGAGGCAUCCACAUCGUACUUACCCAGCAUGGAUUCAGUCUGCUCUGGCGGUCUGAUCCUCAAAUGGCUUAACCAUCCUGGCGGCGAAAUCGUCGCACAAACACUAUGGCAAUGGUUCAAGCCCCGGGCGGUGAUCUCCAUGUGAUCGCCCCCAAUCCUCCCUCGGUACCAAGCUCGGCGGCGAAGUCGUCGCACAACGCCCUAGCUUCUACCAGGGUCAUCACAAGUCAUGGGAUUCCAGAAUCCACUUUCCACAGGUCGAGGGUCCAUAGCCAACCCUAUACUUUCGACCUAUCUCAUCCUAGUGGCUAUACCACUAUACUCAUCAACCUAGGUUCCAAUACUCUAGGUUCUAUGUCCACGUCACUUAACCUAGAUACACUUACUAGGUUCUUGUCAUCUUUGCCUAGAUGUCCACUUCUAGGUUUACUAGUUCGACCUAGGUUUACUAACACUAGGUUCGAUGCCACACACCUAGAUUGUUCGACUCUAGGUUCACUUGUUUAACCUAUGUUCUUUAACACUAGGUUAGAUGCCACUCGAUCUACCUGACAACCUAGUUGUCCAAUCAACUCUACUCACACUAGAGUUAUUAACUCAUGCUUUCUACUUGGCAUUUACUCUAUGCAUCUGUUCCUCAUGCAUUCUAUUUAGCAUUUCCAUCUAUGCAUUACUAUUAGUAUGCAUUCUUUACAUUAGCUAGCAUCAUUUACAUGUCAUGCUUUCAUGCUUGCUACUUACCAUGCAUUCUUUACUUAGCCUUUACUUUAUGCAUUAUUAUUCAUCAUGCAUUUCUUGUCCUUGUCUACAUGCACAUGCAUCAACAUGGAGAUACAUUGCUAAGACAUAAAGGGCGACCUAGUCGUUUCGGUAAGUACAACCCACCUUAGCUAGCUUUUUCGAUUGCUCGUCGACACUUGCAAUCGGCCUCCCGCGGCACUCGGCACCCGUUCGGGCCCGAUCUCACAGUUGCUCCCCUCGAGCACGCCGCUUCGCCGUUUCAAGUGCUAGCGAUCUUCCCCUUGCCGCUACGGUGCUCGGGACCCGGUUUCACGAUUUAUGGACGUGGCCUCGACCUCCGAGGUGGAAAUGAAGCUUCGAGCGCCCGUUUCUUCAAUAUCUUCGCAAUGGCUUGUCGGAUUGCCGAACCGACUUCGCCAACGUGUUUCUUUACCUACCAAUUAGGUUUACGAAAGGUCAAAUGAGAUCAAACUCAUCUAUUUACAAAAACCCCAUUUUGAUGCCCUAGAAUGCCAUCACUAGCAAAUCCACCAAAUCGAUCUAGGAUUUGGAUAUAAUCCAUCAAAAUAGCCAGCUAGGGUACCAAACAAACCAUUUCUAGGGUUUAAAAACCCAUCUACAAAGAUCUACCAUGAGAGGGCUUGGAAGCUUACCUCUCAAAGAGCUCCAUGGAGAGAAGAAGAUGAAGAUGAAGAUGAGGAAGAGGAUCUCCUCCUUGGUCCUCUUCUUCUUUUCCUUUCCUUUCUCUUUUCUUCUUCUCUUCCCUUUUCACUUUUCUUUCUUUUCUUCUUCUCCUCCCUUGCACGAUCGGAGAGAGGGAGAGAGGCUGAGGGAGAGAGAGAGAGAGAGGAAAAGGUCUCUCUAAUACCCUCUCUCAUUUUAUAACAAAAUGCUAAGAAGCCCCCAACUUUUCAUCUUUUACCCAGCCCUCACUGGGUGUUCUACGCGCUGAGGGAUCGGUCUCCCCGACCAGGGCCGGUCCCCGAGAGCUCUCCCCGAUUCCACGCGUUCGGGAACCGGUCCCUCCCUGAGAGACCGGUCCUCGAGAGACCGGUCUGCCCACCAGAGACCGGUCCACGAGAGCUCAUCUCGCGGGACUUAGCCAAUUUUCGGCUCUUCUUACUGGUGCCGUAGGCCGGGACCGGUCCCUCUUCUGCCAGGGACCGGUUGCAUCAGCAAUCCCGCAGCCUUCAGCUGAUGGGACCAGUCUCUCACCUCCAGAGAUCGGUCCCCGAGAGCAAUCUCAGCCCAAAAAUGCAGAUUGCAUUAUUUGCUCUCGCGGACUCCAUUCCAAUGUAUUUCUCGGUUUUUGUGCAUCCUUAGCUUUUCCAAAGCUUAUCCAUUCGAUCCUUAGUCGAUUCUAGACGAGGUGCAACCCUCGGAUUUCGAGAGUUCACAUUGUUACAUUCUCCCGUCCUUAAAAGAGUUUCGUCCUCGAAACUCACUCAUUCUUACCCUCUUUUAUUCCUCGAUCCACUCCUCGAGUACUCAAGGGUUCCAAUGCACUUUUGUACUUCGGAGUGGCCUUUAUUCUCAUCGAACUCAUCUAAAGGCCCACGACGAAGAAUGUGAGACCACGUUUACUCACAUUUUCCUCUUGCAACAUCAAAAGUGCAUUAUCACUUUACAAACUUCACUGGCGGUGUGGGUCAGUAUUCAAGACCCCACACACUAACUUCACUAGCCACUCGGCUAGAGAAGGACCUAUUCCCUCGCGGUUCUAGCGAACAUCACCACCAUUCGAGAUCAGGGCUACCCUUUCAUCCCAGUGGUGUGGAUCCAGCAAGAUCGCAUCACUUCGAUGAAUGAUCCACCACCACAUCUCUAUAUGCACGGGUAGACUUUCUCGAAUUGCUCAAGUACCCACUAGGUGGCACUUUGCCACUUUGGCUAUUUGGGAGCCCGAUACCACCUUAUUAUCCUAUCUGUACCAUCUCGUUCUCAGCGAUCGCAAGACGGCAUCCUCUCGCGCAUCCCAGAUUCUCAAUCCUCUUGAGAGCAUCAUUCUCAACGCCAACUCUUCGCGUGGUUAUCCAUUAUUCAAGUGUCUCUUAGAGACCACUUUACUUUCCCUUUAUCUCUUGACAUUUUAGGCCACGUUCAUCUCCACACGAACUCUUCGUUUGCGGAGACUCGGAGCUUCGCGAUCAGCUGGUCACACUCGUAGGGGUGAUGAGGCAACAAGCUGAUAUGGUGCAGUGGCAGCAGGAGGCUGCUACAUGCCAGGAGGAGCAAAUGAAAAGACUCCAGGAAGCGGUGGAUCAGCUGGUGGCAGCACCAGCUGCGGCUGGUCGAGGACAGCCAGGAGUCGCGACGGAGCUGUUUCCGUCGGGGUCGGGUGAUCCGACUUCUAUUAGUCCAGAGGUAGCGGCGGAGAGGGACCAAGCUUUGGCUGCCCUCAUGGCUUUCAAGAAGUUUGAUCCGCCUACCUUCGAUGGAGAAGAUACGGAUCCGUAGGUCCUUGAGAUGUGGAUCGAUUCCAUGGAAACCCUCUUCGAGAAUUUGUACACAUUGGAGCGAGACAAGGUAAACCUAGCCGCGCACUAUCUCAAACAGUCGGCGAAGGUGUGGUGGAAAGGCGUCAAGCGAGAUCGACAGCCUAGUCUCCCUCCUAUGUCUUGGGUAGAGUUUCAGGGGUUGGUAUUCUCUACUUAUUUCCCCGAUAGUGAAAAGCGAAAGCUCAAGGAAAGGUUCCUUAAGCUGCGACAAGGAGGCCGCACGAUCAGGCAAUACGAGUGGGAAUUUUUUCGUAUCGUGCAUUGUAUCCCGAACGUGGUGCGGGAUGACAAGGACUAAACCGACUGCUUCGUGCGUGGACUUCGGCCAGAUCUUUACCAGGCGGUGCUAAUGCUCAAGUUGCAGACCUUUGCUGAAGUCCUGGAUCGAGCCUUGUGGAUAGAGCAAGGCAAUGAAUUCCUGCGGGAGAAGCGCGAGUCGUAUUACAAGGAAAAGGGGAAAUGACGACCAGUGAGUGGACAUGAUGAUCAGUCAAGUUCCCAGCAGACCUCUGCGAAGUCGCGCUCUCGAUCUCGAGCUCCGGGGACGUAUCACAUUCGGUCCUCGGCGAGAUGUGUGAUUUGUGGGGGCCCUCAUUUCCCACAACAGUGUGAGCAGCGAGAGGGCAAGUGCUUCAAGUGUGGGCUAUCGGGCCAUAUACGGGACGAGUGUCCGCAAGGUGAUAGCCGAGCCUUGACACUGGCGACGGCUUAUUCCCCUCCGGGACUGCAGGCAGGUGUGCCACCUGCGGCAUGGUCAGGGGAGCAGCCGUUGAGGACGUUGCAACCAGAGGGAUCGCGGCGAACGCCAAGUGGCCAUGGAUAGGCGACCCAAGUUGCUGUGCCUGCCGUGGCUGACGACGUCGUGGCAGGUAUGAGUUAAUUAAGCAAUCGUAUGUUUUUGCAUAAUCUCAAGCUGUUGCAUUGCAUGCAUUCAUCAUUGGUCUGUUACUACUAUUGUCACAUUGCAUAGUAGGGACCGAGAGGUCGGGUAGAUAGGCACCCGAGCAUGCUAGCAGGAUGAGGGUAUAGCGCCUGCUAGAGCAGGUAGAGAGCGAAUGGUACUAGCAAAUGGCUAGUAGUGAUUUUGGAUAGGAAGCGAGGCUCGCAAUGGAAAUCGAAUGGUGAGAGAACUCUCGAUGCAAUGGAUUAGAAAUUGCGAGAGUUGAGCCUUGAUGUUUGGGGACACCCGAAUAUUCCAAGAGUAUUUUGGAUGCGGAUUCGGUAGAUCGAAUAGUGAAGAUGAACCACUGUUGCGAAAUGGGUCAGUUAGCGCCGAGUUUGGCCUGUGGGCCUAGUAGUACCUCGAGUUGAGGUGGGUGAGUUGUGCUCCUGUGGCCGGUGUGCAUAGGCUAAGUUGCCUGGUGCUUGGCGUAGUUGGGACGCUGCAGAGGCGUAUAGAGCGCUCGAGUAUAGACACUCGUAGAGUGCGGUUUCAAUUCAGCCAGUCGAGUGAAUUGGCAGUAGCACUUUAGCAGGGCUAAGUGUGAAGCGGGCCAUGGAUCACUCGUGAGGGCUGGUGGCUCGCACUAGGUGCCUAAGAGCCUAUAGAGUGCGUAGCUCUGUAGAGCAUGUCAUGUAGGACGACGUUGGCGGGUAGUGCUUGGGGACGACCCGUGCCUGGACCUUUUGUGGACUGUGGAGCCUGAGCCCAUUGGGCAGGUGCAGUCAGCUGUGAGAGAUAGCGGCCCGAUACCUAUAGGUAGUGCGGAGAGUUUUGGUCAUGACGGUAGUCCGAGCUUAGACCCGAGCACGUGGAAUGCCACGUGUUAGAUCGUGAGAUCAGUAGUACACCGAGUGUGUAGCAACCCGACCCGAGGAUUUGCCGGGGUUUGGGGACUUGGAUGCUCCUGGUUGGAGUAUGUGCGAAUUCUCCAAUGAGAAUGUCGCUCGAUAAUGAUUGGGUCUACGCUUGCGAGCGAGAGACGCUAGGCGUCGUUGAGGCGAGUUAGGCGACUAGCCUACGUAGGAUUGGUUGUCUUGGUCCACCUGAGGAAAAUGAUGGUUGGUGUAGCCGGGAACUCUAUUUAUGAGUCGGGCUUAGAUCCGCGAAUGAAGAGUUCGUGUGGUGUUGGACGUGGCUGUGGGGUCGAGGACAAGAAAGAGUAAUGUGGUCUCUAGGAGACACUUGGAUAAUGGAUAGCCAUGUGAGGAUUGGAAUUGGGAGUGAGAUGGUACAGAUAAGAUGAUAAAGUGGUAUCAGGCUCCCAAAUAGCCAAGGUAGUGAAGCGCCACCUGGUGAGUACUUUGAGUAAGUCGAGAGGGUCUACCCGUGCACGUAGCGUGGUGGUGUUGGAUCGUUCGUCUAGUUGAUGCGAUCUUGCUAGGUCCACACCACAGGAAACGAAGGGUAGUCCUGAUCUCAAGGGAUGGUGGUGUUUGGUGAAACCGCGAAGGAAUAGGUCCUUUUUUAGCCGAGUGGCUGGUGGUGUUGGGGUGUGGAGUCAUGAAUAUUGACUCACACUACUACCGAGGUUUGUAAAGUUGUAAUGCACUUUCGAUGUUACAAGUGGAAAGCGUGAGUACCUGGUCUAACAUCGUUCGUAGUGGGCCUUUGGAUGAUUACGAUGAGAAAAAGGCCACUCUGAAGUGCGAAAGUGCAUUGGAACCCUUGAGUACCCGAGAAGUGUAUCGAGGAAUAAGAAGGGGUUAGAAAUGAGUGAGUUUCGAGGACGAAACUCUUUUUAAGGAGGGGAGAAUGUAACAAUGUGAAUUCUCGAAAUCCGAGAGUUGCACUUCGUCCAGAAUCAACUAAUGGUCGAGUUGGUAAGCUUUGGAAAAGCUAAGGAUGCACGAAACCCAAAAGUGCAUUGAAAUGGAGUCCGCGAGAGUGAGAAUGCAAAAUCUGCAUCUUUGGCAGAUUUGCUCUCGGGGACCGGUCUCUGGCUGGAGAGACCGGUCCCAUCAGCUAAAGGCUGCGGGGUUGCUGAGGCAACCGGUCCCUGGCACCAGGGGGACCGGUCCCCGCAGGUGACACCAACGAGAAUGGCCAAAAAUUGGCCAAGUCCCGCGAGACGAGCUCUCGGGGGCCGGUCUCUGGUGGCUGGACCGGUCUCCGGGGGACCGGUCUCUCAGGGAGAGAUCGGUUCCCGAAUGCGUGGAAUUGAGGGGAGCUCUCGGGGAUCGGUCCCAGGUCAGGGAGACCGGUCCCUCCGCGCGCAGAAUGCCCAGUGAGGGCUGUGUAAGAGAUGAAAAGCUGAGGGACUUAAUAGCAUUUUGUUACAAUAUGAGAGGGGUUAUUAGAGAGGUGUUUUCUCUCUCUCUCUCUCUCUCUCUCUCACUCCCUCACACUCUUCCUCACUGUCUCUCUCUCUUGCUCCGAUCGUGAGGAGGAAAAGGAAAAGAGGAGAGGAAGGAAAGGAAAUAAAGAAAAAGAGAAGAAGAAAAGAAGGAGAAGAUGGAGGAGAAGAAGAGGAUCAUCAUCACCAUCAUCCUCUUCAUCUUCUUCUCUACAUUGAAGCAAGCCUAGAGAGGUAAGCUUGGUACCCUUUCAUGGUAGAUCCUUAAAGAUAGGGUUUUGAUCUCUAGAAAUGGUUAGAAUGGAACCCUAGCAUGCUAUUAAGAUGGUUUUUCCCCAUUUCAUAGAUCGAUUUGGUGGAUUUGGUAAUAAUGGCAUUCUAGGGCAUCCAAAGAGGGUUUUUGUAAAUAGAUGAGUUUGAUCUCAUUUGACCCUUCGUAAACCUAAUUGGUAGGUAACGAAACACGUUGGCGAAGUCGGUUCGGCAAUCCAACAAGCCGUUGUGAAGAUAUUGAAGAAACGGAUGUGUACAGCUUCGUUUCCGCCUGGAAGGCCAAGGCGACGUCCAUAAAUCGUGAAAUCGGGUCCCGAGCACCGUAGCAGCAAGGCAAAGACCUUUAACUCUUGAAACGGCGAAGCGGCGUGCUCUUGGGGAGCAACUGUGAAAUCGGGCCCAAACGGGUGCCCAGUGCCGCGGGAGGCCGAUUGCAAGUGUCGACAAGCAAUCGGAAAGCUAGCUAAAGGUGGGUUGUGCUUACCGAAGUGACUAGGUCGCCCUUUAUGUCUAAGCAAUGUAAUCUCAUGUUGAUGCAUGUAGACAAGACUAAACUGUGCAUGUUAAUGGUAAUGCUAAGUAGAAAGCAUAAUGAACAAUAUGAUAAUGCUAGAUAGUGCGUGAAUGCACAAGUAGUUGAACAUAUAUAUAUAUGCAUGUAAACUAAAUGAUAACUCUAGAAAUGUAGAGUUGAUUGGUAAUGAGACUCAAUUGGGUAACUAGGAUGUCAACUAGAUCGAGUGGCACCUAACCUAGUGUUAAAGAACAUAGGUUGAACAAGUGAACCUAGAGUCGAACAAGUCUAGGUGUGGCAUCGAACCUAGUGUUAGCAAACAUAGGUCGAUCUAGUUAACCUAGAAGUGGACAUCUAGGUAAAGAUGACGAGAACCUAGAGAUUGUGUCUAGGUUAUAUGACAUGAACAUAUAACCUAGAGUGUUAGAACCUAGGUUGUUGAGCAUAGUGGUAACAGCCACUAGGAGGAGCUAGGUCGACAGUAUAGGGUUGGCUAUGGACCCUCGACCUGUGGAAAGUGGAUUCCGGAAUACCAGGACUUGUGAUGACCUAGAUAUCAAAUCUAGGUCGUGUGCGACGACUUCGCCGCCAAGGUUGAUACCGAGGGAGGAUUGGGGGCGACCACAUGGAGAUCACCGCCCGGGGCUUGAACCAUUGUCGUGGCGUUUGUGCGACGAUUUCGCCGCCGGAUGGUUAAGCCAAUUGAGGAUCAGACCGCCAGGAUUGACUGAAACCAUUGCUGGGUAAGAACGAUGCGUGCGCCGCCAGGUGGCUGAGUCAUGACUUGUACCGUUGUUAGGUGAGGUGCGAUACGUUCGCCGCCAGAUGGUUAUUUCAUGACUCGAGUCCUCGCUGGGUAAGAACGCCAUGUUCGCCGCAAGAAUGGCUAUGUCAAGUGACUCGAGCCGAGUUCAGUGUGUGCGACUACUUCGCCGCUAAGAGGCUGAGUUUAGAGGGCAGCAGGUUGAUGAGCAGCCGGUGCGUGGACUAUCCGCGAAUGAUUGACUCGAAGCCGAGUCAGAUGGUUAGCUUCGAUAAGGUAGUGGAAACCCUUAUGAGCUAGAGAUAGAGGCUUGAGCUAAGGUAAUAGGGACCUUAGAAGCCAGUGGACUUGAGAGUGAACCUAAGGUAGUAGAAGCCUUAGAGUUGAUGAUAUGAGCUAAGAAUAACCAAGUAAAAUGUAGAAUCAAUUGAUCUACUAGUUGUUGCAUAAAGUUGCAUGAUUUUCAUAACGCAUAUCGUGAGGCAUGGCAUGUAUUUCAAUUUGAAUAUAUAUCUGUUGUAUAUUGUUGAACUAACAUGUUGCAGUGCCUCCUCGGAUCUAUCGGUCGAGCUUUUUUCUUGGGUGGCCGUACCCACUGGGAACCAUGGAGUUGGUUCUCACCCCACGUUGUUUCGGGGUGUUUUCAGGUUGUACGUGUGCGGCGCGGCGGCGCGAGGUGAGGGCGUAGCUUCGUAGAUAGCGCCCUACCCCGGAGACCAGAGCUAGCAGUAUCCCGAGUCAGCAGGGCCUAGGGGUUAGAAUGGAAUGACGACAACCAACUUGUAUUAAACAUAAUAACGUGAUUGUAUUUGGAAGUUAAGCAAAUGUAAAAGAAAAAUAUUAUUUGAAAUGAAUGCUUGUAAUAGCAGUUAGUUUUAUGUUAUUGGUACUUUCUUAUGCAAUCUGGAUUGAUAUCCGUUCCUGGUUGGAACAUUCGUUGAUUGUUUGGAUUGUGACGCCUUGGACGUACAGGGAAAACUCUGUCCGUUCGGCGGUCUGUCGGCGGCGCCGCGACCCGGUCCAAAUAGGCAGGUGGUCGCGGGUCAUGACAGUAUAAGCUUCGGAGAGUCCGGAGGUAAUUAAAAUGCAUAGAGUGCAUUAAGGAAGAGUCCGCGAGAGCAUUAGUGCAAAAUCCUCACUGGAGCAGAAUUGCUCUCGGGGACCGAUCCCUCGCAGGGAGGGACCGGUCCCAUCAGGCUGGGCUGGCGGAGAUCCUUGAUGCAACCGGUCUUUGGCAGGUAAGGACCGAUCCCCGAACGUUAACCCAGCGAGAGAAGCCGAAAUUUGGCUAAGUCCCGAAAAUCUAACUCUCGUGAACCGGUCUCUCGGACAAGGACCGGUCACCCGGGGUGGUCUCUCAGGCAAGGACCAGUUCCUGAAUGCGAAAUCCCCUCUGCCCGAAUAGGAGGCUCUCGGGGACUGGUCUCCCCGAGCUGGGACCGGUCCCUCACUGCGAAAAUGCCCAGUGAGGGCUGCUGCAGAGGAUGGAAAAGUUGAGGGGGCUAUGUGCAAAAUGGCUUAUAUGAGAGGUGGGGGACCCCUCUCUCCCUCUCAUUUGCUUUCUCUCCCUCUCACACUCUUUCCCUCUCUCUCUAGAAAGAAUAAAAGGAAAAGAAGAAGAAGAGGAAGAAGAAGAAGGAGAAGAAGUAGAGGAAGAAGAAGGAGAAGGCUAAGAAGAAGUAGAAGAUCAUCUUCUUCUCUCUCUCCCUCAAGCUUGAAGCUUUGUUUAGAGGUAAGCUCUAAACCCUUUAAUGGUAUUUCUAGGGUUUGGGAUUUUUGUUGCUUAGAGAUGGUUCGAAUGGAACCCAUCGAGGUAAAGGAGAUGGCUCAAGCUUGAAAUUGAAGCUCACACUACGGAUUUCCUCACCGUUGCCAACCUAGGACACGGAUUUGGGAUUUUUAGAAAUCUAGGGUUUUGAUCUAUUUUAUUAGGUCGUAAACCUAAUUGCUAAGUCUUCGAACGCGCAGGCGAAGACGGUUUGUCGAUCCGACGAGCGAGUGCGAAGAUAUCGCCGAAACUGAUACUUGAGGGUUCGCUUUGCCUUGAGGUGUUGAAGCGACGUACGAGGACCGCGACGUCGAGUUGUCUAGCCACGCGGCACUACCAAAAGGUGGGGGAGUGCCAUCCUGAAGCAGUCGAGCUGCUUUCUAUGUCUGAGUUAUUGUGUUGAUCAAUUACAUAUUAAACAUGUGGCAUAUAGGGAACUAAGUUAUUUAUAUCUAUAUUUGCAUGCUAGUGUUAAUGUGGCCUAGUGAUAUAGCUCUAGAACCUAGUAUGCAUGAGCCGGAUAUGAGGUGGUGAACCCUAUAUGUGUUGGAUGUACAUGUAGCUAUGAAAACCUAGUACAUUGUGGACUAGAGUAUCGAGAACUUGUCAGAGAACGAGUGGCAUCUAGUUAACAAUGAACACAAACUAUUGGCAUCUUGUUGAUAUUGAACAUAAGAACCCUAGUGUAGUCAAAACACUAUGAGCUUGGGUAUUGGGAUGCUUGAUUCUAUGAUGACACCAACCUUAGUUGGUAGGACCAGUUCGUGAGUUCAGAUUAUACUCACAUAGCCUGUCUGCACUUGUAGGGGUCGCUCCCCAUAGCCUGUGCACUCCGGAGUAUUUGUCACUCGAGGGGCAGUCGCCAUGCGCUGCCUGGACAGUCAGUGUAUCUGUCCGCAGGCGGUCUCGGGGAAUAGUUCAGCGAGGCUUUUCCCUAUGAGACUUAUAAACGUGAGAUUGUGUUGCCGGAUUGAUCGAAUGAUUGGGUAAAGUAAUGAACAACCCUUAUUGUUGAGCAUAGUAGUAUGGUAGCUACGAAUUCGGUAUGAAUGACAUGCAUGCAUGAUUCAAGAUUGAGGCAUAGUCAGAUGCUCAUACCUAUACUUGCUUAUUCCUCGUUAAUGUUUUCAAUCCCAUAUAUCUAUCUAUCUGCAUAUCUAUCUGUGCCUGCUUAGACCUAGUGGGAAGAUCGGCAGAGUCGGCGGCCGAACGCACUGGGAACUAUUCGUAGUUCGCAUCCCACUUUGUUGCAGGUCUGAGUUCGAGUGUCCCCGGCGAGCGCGAGGACCGUGGCAAGGGCAUAGCGCCCUAGUGGUAUAUGUACAUAGCUAGCUCUACUUCCUUUUGCAUUAGCCCUACCCUGUACUUAUGUUUGAGAGUAGAUGUUGUAUAGGGUGAGGUUUGAGAGUGAUUGUACAUAUGAUCUGGAUGAAUGUAAAAGAUGAAAUAAUUGUAUAAAGUUAAAUGAGUUUAGUAGUUAAGUACAUCUCUCUUUUAUCACUUGUAUGCUUUACUUGUGUUGCUUGCUCUUGGUUGAUAAGCACUGUUUGUGCUUCGUCGUCGUUGUUUGAUCAUGUAUGUAGUCAAGUGUAUUUUCUAGAAACUUGUAUACAUGAUCUCGUUAUUUGAGCCUUGGGCGGAUAGAGGAGUUGUUGUCCGUUCGGCGGUCCGUUCGUCGCGCCCGAACCAGACCAAACUGGUAGCGGGCUCGGGGCGGGGACGUGACACAACGAUUGAUUGCAAGAGCAGAGUGAUUACAUUUCGUGAGUCGGGACAGAAGGAGUUCAUUUAUCGGGCUUGUCAGAGCUCGUGCUUCGUUGCGACAGUAUCGGCGACGAGAGCAAGAAAGCUGGUCAACAGCGGUUGCGCAGCAUUCUUGGCAACCGUUGUAGAAGUGGACCAAGUGGCUCCGACCUUGGAGGAGUUAUCGGUGGUGCGGGAGUUCUCGGUGUGUUUCCCGCGGAGUUACCGGGGAUACCGCCGGACAGGGAGAUCGAGUUUGUCAUAGACUUGGUUUCCGGUACCGCACCGAUCUCGAAGGCUCCAUACCGAAUGGCAUCGGCGGAAGUGAAAGAGUUGAGGAGUCAACUGCAAGACCUUCUCGACAAGCAGUUUAUCCGGCCAAGUGUAUCACCGUGGCGAGCCCCGGUGUUGUUUGUACGGAAGAAGGACGGAUCGUUUCGACUCUGCGUGGAUUACCGAGAAUUGAACAGAGUCACGAUCAAGAACAAGUACCCACUACCCCGAAUCGAUGAUUUGUUCAACCAGUUGCAGGGGUCGUGUGUGUACUCAAAAAUAGAUUUGCAGUCCGGCUAUUACCAGUUGAAGAUCAAGCCGGAGGAUGUGCAGAAAACUGCGUUCCGUACGCUGUACGGACACUAUGAAUUCACAGUCAUGCCAUUUGGACUCACGAAUGCUCUAGCGGCGUUCAUGGACUUGAUGAACCGUGUCUUCAAGAAGUAUCUGGACUGAUUUGUCGUAGUCUUCAUAGACGACAUAUUGGUCUAUUCUCGCAGUGACGAGGAACAUGCCGAGCAUUUGAGAAUAGUGCUUCAAGUUCUUCGGGAGAAGAAGCUAUAUGCUAAGUUAAAAAAGUGUGACUUCUGGCUCUGAGAGGUCGCAUUUCUAGGGCAUGUAAUUUCCGCGGGUGGAGUUUCUGUAGACCCGAGGAAAGUUGAGGCAAUCAAGGAUUGGCCGCGCCCGACGAAUGUCACGGAGGUUCGAAGCUUCGUGGGCUUAGUGGGCUACUAUAGACGGUUCGUGGAGGGCUUUUCGAAGUUAGUAAUUUCACUUACCCAUCUGACUCAAAAAGGCACCAAGUUCGUCUGGAGCGAGGAAUGCGACCGGAGUUUCAAAGAAUUGAAGCAAAGAUUAACUUCGACUCCGGUGCUCGUUCUACCAAUACAAGGCAAAGACUUCGUGGUCUAUAGCGAUGCUUCCUAUCUAGGAUUGGGGCGUGUCCUGAUGCAGAGCGGGAAGGUGAUCGCUUAUGCGUCCCGUCAGCUGAAGAGCUAUGAGAAGAAUUACCCCAUUCAUGAUUUGGAGCUAGCGGCGGUAAUCUUCGCCUUGAAGCUGUGGCGGCACUACUUGUAUGGUGCCCACUGCGAGAUCUACAUCGACCACAAGAUCAUGAAAUAUCUGUUCACACAGAAAGAGCUCAACAUGCGACAACGACGGUGGUUGGAACUGCUAAAAGAUUAUAAUGUGGAUAUCCUUUACCACUCAGGAAAAGCGAAUGUGGUCGCGGAUGCGCUGAGCAGGAAAUCAGCGGAGAACCUCGCUAUGUGGGUUACGAAUCAAACGCCCCUAUGGCUGGACAUGGAGAGAAUGGAUCUUGAGGUGGUUGCUCCCGAGAUUCCGGCCCAGUUGAUGGCGCUCGUUGCCCAACCGACCUUGUUGGAGAGGAUCAAAGAUCUGCAACCUGCAGACCUAGAACUUCAAAGGGUGCGGCGAAACAUCGAGGAGGGUCAAGGCGGCAAUUUCAGUAUGGACGUCGGUGGUACACUUCAGUUUCGAAACCGGUGGUGUGUGCCCAAAAAUGGAGAGCUUCGCGAGCUAAUUCUACAAGAAGCGCAUCGGUCUCCAUAUGCUGAUCACCUGGAGGGUUGAAAGUGCACUAUUGGUGGCUGGGAAUGAAAAGUGAUAUUGGACGCUUCGUUGCUAAGUGCUUAGUAUGCCAACAAGUGAAGGCAGAGCGCCGAUUUCCAGCGGAAAAGCUUCAAAGCCUUCCAAUCCCCGUUUGGAAAUGGGAAGAUAUAUCGAUAGACUUCGUGGUCGGCUUGCCUCGCUCAACUGGCGGCCACGAUGCAAUUUAGGUAAUUGUGGAUCGUUUGACGAAGUCGGUUCACUUUUUGCUGAUCCACACCACAUGGGUAGGUGACAAACUGGCGCAGGUAUACCUUGAUGAGAUAGUGAGGUUACACGGGGUGUCGAAAUCGAUCGUGUCGGAUCGUGAUCCCCGGUUACCUCGCACUUUUGGAAAAGCCUGUAGGAAGCCCUUGGCACACGGCUCGAUUUUAGCAAAGCAUUCCAUCUUCAGACAGAUGGGCAAACAGAGAGAACCAUUCAAACUCUGGAGGAUAUGUUGCGAGCGUGUGUCAUAGACUACAAGGGAAGUUGGUGUGAUCAUCUGCCGAUGGCCCAGUUCGCCUACAACAAUAGUUAUCAUGCUAGUGUAGAGAUGGCACCGUUCGAGACUCUCUAUGGGCGGAACUGUCGAUAUCCUAUACACUGGGGCGAUGUGGGUGAGCGUGCGGAGUUCGGCCCUGAUGUUUUGCUAGAAGCGGAGGAGAAAGUCCGCCUUGCUCGCAAGAGGUUGCUCACGACGUAGUCGAGACAGAAAAGCUAUGCUGAUAGGCAUCGUCGAGACUUGGAGUUCACAAUAGGCGACCACGUAUUCUUGAAGGUCUCACCCAUGGGGGGUGUAAAACGAUUCGGAGUUCGGGGAAAGUUAAGUCCCCGAUACAUCGGACCUUACGAGGUAUUGGAGCGAAUUGGGACCGUGGCUUAUCGGCUUGCGUUGCCGCCAAAGCUCGCAGAUGUGCAUAACGUGUUCCACGUCUCCUAUCUUCGCAAAUACAUUCAUGAUCUCGAGCAUGCUCUAUUGUACGAGCCACCGGAGCUCCAAGAGGAUUUGAGCUAUGAAGAGUUUCCGGUGGGGGUUAUUGCUCAAGAAGUGCGAAAGCUACGAAAUCACGAGAUUCCUUAUGUGAAGAUUCGGUGGAGCAAUCAUGAUGAUCGCGAGACCACCUGGGAACUCGAGGAUCUGAUGAGAAAGCACCAUCCUCACUUAUUUGAGGAAUAAGGUAUGAAUUUGAGUUAAAGUUGAGAAUUGAAUUAGUUUCGAGGACGAAACUCCUUUUAAGGAGGGGAGGAUGUAAGGAAGUGAAUCCUCGAAAUCCGAGAGUUGAACUUCGACCAGAAUCGACUAUUUGUCGAGUAGGUACCCUUCAGAAAGGCUAAAGAUGUCCAAAACACAAAAGUGCUUUGGAGUCGAGUCCACGAGAGCAAGAAAUGUGAAAAUCUGCACCUGACAGAUUUUGCUCUCGGGGACUGGUCCCUGGCAGGGAGAGACCGGUCCCCGAACUGAGGGAUGCAGCAACGCGCGAUGCAACCGGUCCCUGGGCCUGAGGGACUGGUUCCCAAACGCGUAAACUUAGAGAGGUCCCAAGGGACCGGUCCCAGGCAGGGAAAGACCGGUCCCUCCUCGCGAAAUCUGCCCAGGCAGAGUAAGUUGAGAGGGUUAAAGUAGAGGGGCUUUUAUGCAAAAAUGCUAUUAGUUAGAGGGGUAUAGAGGGGCUGAGCCCUCUCCUCUCUCUCACCCUCACCCUCACUCUCUCACUCAGCUCUCUCUCUCUCUAGAAAGAAAAUAGAAGCAGAAGAAAGAAAAGAGAAGGAGAAGAGAGAAAAGAGAAAAAGAAGGAGGAGAAGAAGAAGAAGGAGGAGAUCAAGCUAGAGAAGGCUUGGAGCAUCUUACUCUUCCUCUCCUCUCCCUUAGAGCUAACCUAGAGGUAAGCUCUUGAGCCCUAAUAGUAUAACUUAGGAUUUUUGGGUUUUUGGCUUUGGAAAGGAGGUCAAAUGGACCUCUAGCACCAUUAGUGGUGGAUUAGAGCUAGAGGCUGGGGUUCCUUAGUGCAAAUGGCAAGCUGUGAACCCUAGGGCACCCGAAUUGGGAUUUUUGAUAAAGUAUGAGAUUGAUCUUAUUUGAGGGCAUAUAAACCUAAUUGCUAGGUGUCUAAACCCGGGGGCGAAGUCGGAAUUUCGAUUCGUCGAGCGGGGAAAAAGCUAUCGGCAAAAUAAGGCCGAUUGAGCAUCAUUUUGGACCAAGGAGGCCGAGACCUCGUCGUAACGUUCGGCGAGAGGCAUAUCUAGAACCUCUGCAACAAGAAAAGGUGGGGGAUGUCAUCCCGAAGCAGCCGAACUCUCUAUUAUGUCUUAGAAUAACAUGAUUUACAUCUCUUGCAUGUUGCAUUGUAGGAUUGUAUUGUAGUACCUUUUCCUUAUACUUCUAAAUGUUAACCUAGUGUACAUGGAAUACUUGGUGAAAAUGGAUAGGUAAGGAUUGGGUCGAAACAUGGAUCCUAUAGUGCUAAAGAAAAGAGAUAAACUCGAUGGUUAUUUAGUGACAUAGAGAGUGACAUCUAAAUGUUUAAAGAACAUAGAGAGUGGCAUUAUGUAGUGUAUUUGACACUAGAGGUUCAUAAACUUAGGGAUAGGUGGAUUCCCUAGAAAAUGACUCGUGAACAAUGAACUUAGUAAAGCUAAGUAACUAUGCAUGAAAGUCGAAAUAGGUGAGUUCUGAGAGAAAUGUUGGCCCUAGUUCGUAGGGUAUCCUCACGUGGAGAGGAUAGAUCAAGCUCAUGGUCUAUUAUUUGGGGUGGUAAAGCCAUCCAUAUCCUCACAUGGAGAGGAUUGGUCGUCAAGUACUCCGGAGUGUCGGGCGAUUAGGACAGAGUUGAUGUCCGCAGACAGUCCCGGGUUUGGGGCACAUGGAGCUCCCUACCCUAUGGGAUGGAUAUGUGAGAUGUAGGCAGACCCAAGGGUCUUGCCACAGACUAUUGGUAGAGUAGUAGCUUUCCCUUUUGCAUUAGCACACCUAUGUAUUUGAGAGAGAUUCAUGUAGGUGAGGACUUUGGAGAGCUAUGUACUUGAUGAAAAUAUGUAUUCAUUUUGAGGAAAAGAAUGUAAUUGUACACAAUUACAAAUGUGAUGUAAUAGCUAGUAGGUUCUCUCUUUAUUUCACUCGUGUAUCUUGUGGAUUACUUGCUCUUUGUUGUUGGCACUGUUUGUUCCCCGUUGAUUGUGUACUUAUAGAAUUUAAUAUCCUGGGUAAAUUCUUGUACUCGAUCUAUUGUUGAGCCUUGGGCGGACAAGGGAGGUGCUGUCCGUUCGGCGUCCAUUCGCCGCGCCCGAACCGUACCAAAUUGGUAGGAGUCUCGGGGUGGGGGUGUGACACAAUAGGAUGCCUGAUCACCUUUUUGGGCACCCAAAUUAUGGACCAGGCAGAUUGAGUGGGUGCUCGAAUCUAGAACAGGGCAUAGUUACGUGCAAUCCGAGCACCUAAAAGUUUAGGCGGGCGCCUGAGCCUAGUGUAUGGAGAGUGGUUUAGUUCUUUAUAAAUAAAAAAUGUUGGGAGGUUUAUAUGUUAUUGUAGUGUAAUGCCCCAUUUUUCUUUUUUUUUUUUAAUUUGAAAUUUAUUUUGUUAUUUGAUAGAGAAGGACUAUUUAGUUUAACUUAAAAAGUUUAGGGGUCUAGAUGCAAUUGUGCAACCCUAAUUAAUUAAGAGCAGUGCUAGAGGGUAGGGUUGUAAGAUGUACACCCCUUUUGGGUUGUACCAGUAGCAUUUUCCAUUAAUUAAAGGGUUAAUUACAUACAGCUCCCUGCAAACAUAACAAAUAGCAAAUAAAUCCCUACAAAGUUCAACUUUCAACUCUUAUUCCUACAAAAGUCUAGUGAUAAUCAUAUUUGUCCCUCUAGUUUUUUACUGUUAGAGAAUUGUUUAUUUUUUAACAGCAGAUAAGUGAAAUGUCAAUUUUGCCAUCACAAAUAUGCCCUUUCAAAAGCCCCAACUGUUAUAAUCGUUCAGAUAUGUCCCCUUAAAAAAUUUUCAAUGGUAAUCUUUGUCACGCCCCGCCCCGAAACCACUACCAAUUUGGCACGAUUCGGCCGCGACGACGGACCGCCGAACGGACAGCACCUCCCCUGUCCGCCUAAGGCUCAACAACAGGAAUGUGUACAAGAAUUUACCCAGGACUUUAAAUUCUAAACAUACACAUUCAACGAGGGCACAAACAGUGCCAACAACAAGAAGAGCAAGUAAUCCACAGGAUAUACGAGUGAAAUAAAGAGAGUACUUUACUAACUAUUACAAUAGUUGCAUUCUUUAUAUUUACAUCAUUUUCCAAAAUGAAUACAUUUGAUCCUCAAAAUACAUAGCUCUCCAACCUCACCUACAUGAAUCUCUCUCUAUACAUAGGUGUGCUAAUGCAAAAGGAAAGCUACUAUACUACCACGGCCUCACUGAUCGGGCGCGAUGCCCUUGCCGCGGUCCUCCCUCGACAAUCCUGAACCUACCACUGGAAAUAGAGUGGGGUGAGACUAUCUUCCAUAGUUCCUAGUGGGCUCGGCCGCCGACUCUGCCGAUCUCCCCACUAGGUCCAAGUGGGCACAAAUAACAACAGAUAGAUAGAUAGAUAUGUAUCUGAAAGCUGUAAAUGCGAUAGUAGGAAAAACUAUGCUACUAUGCCCAUAAUCAUAAGUAUGAAUGCAUGCAUCAUAUAAUAAAGGUUUGCUAUCGUGCUAACAAAUUCGAUCCAUGUUCGAAUAGCUAUGUUCAAUGACAUUUAUUAACCUUUAACCUUUCAUUUACCCAAUCUGUGGCGAGGCCCUAGGGCUCGCCCAUAACUCAUCUUUCAAUCCCAAAGUGGGGAGGGAGCUCCAAGUGCACCCAAGCCCGGGACCGUCUGCGGACCUCCAUGUGGUCCGGACCUCCAAGUGGUCCUAGUCGCGCGACACUCCGGAGUACUCGACGACAAUCCCCUCCAUGUGGGGAUCGGAUGGCUAUGCCACCCUAACGCAGACUGUGAGCUAGAUCUAUCCUCUCCAUGUGAGGAUACACUGUAACUAGGGUCAACACCCAAUCCAAUCCUCUCCAAGUGAGGAGGCUCUAUAACUAGAGUCAAUAACCCAAUCGAAUCCUCUCCAAGUGAGGACGCCCUACACUAGGGUCAACGACUAUUGCGGAAUCAUCGGUUCCCGACAUUAAUGCAAUGCUAUUUAGUUUUCUAAAUUUAUUGUUCAUAAGGCAUUUUCUAAGGAAUCCACCUAUCCCUAGGUCCAUCGACCUCUAGUGUUAUUUACACUACAUUAAUGCCACUCGUCAUCAUUUAUCAUUCGGAUGCCAAUCGUGUUCUUUAACACUAUCCACUACUUCCUAUAUCAUCAAUACCCCCAUCGGGUUCAUCUCUUUUCUUUCGCACCAUAGGAUUCACGUCUCGACCCAAUCCUCACCUAUCUAAAUUACCAAGCGUUCCAAGUACACUAGGUUAUCAAUUAGAAAGCAUAAGAAAUGGAGCUACUAUGCAAUCCUACAAUGCAACACGAAGAGAUGAGAUUAUAUGCAAUCUAAGACAUAGAAAGGAGUUCGAAAGUUUCAGAUGACACCCCCCAC